Molecule: long non-coding RNA, 48588 nt
Filed under: Citrus sinensis (sweet orange)
Lineage: Eukaryota; Viridiplantae; Streptophyta; Magnoliopsida; Sapindales; Rutaceae
Description: long non-coding RNA (CSIN_LNC004132)
Source: RNAcentral
AUAGAAUAUAUGGGCAAUUGGUGUGGGAAGAUCAAGCCGGUGCAUGUGCACCCAUUGAAGCAAGAAAGCGUUGAGCUUGCCACGAGUCUGAAUAAAAAGUCAUCGAAUAAUUUGAGGAUCAAGGUACUUAUUAGUAAAAACCAACUGAAUGACUUGAUGGCGAAGAUGGAUUUGAGCAAAGAUGAUAAUUCCGAUUCCGGCUCCGAGCUCGGCCGCGUGAUCCUACAAGAAUGCUUUGAAGGUAACCUAACAGCUCGUGUUGCGCCAGAUAACUGUAAGCAGGUUGCAACAGGCUAUGCCAUGAAUAGGAGUUUGAGUACCAUAUAUGAAUGAUAAGUUAUUGAAAACUUAAUUUAUGCUGUUUCUUUUAAUUUGUUUCCAAGUAAUUUUAUCAGAAGAAAGAGAUGUAUAUGUUACAUAUCAUGAAGCUAUAUUAUAUAUGUAUGUGAUAUCGAUUUCGCUGAUGACGAAUCUUUAGUGGUUCAUCUUUAUUAAUCGUUUGUUUGCUCUCUUUAUUUUAUUUUAUUUAUGUAUUAUGCUUUUUCUGUCAAAAUUAUCGCAUUCAUUUGAAGUUAGGAACGUAAAUUUUGUGGUGUUAAACAUAAUCAUCAGCUUAAGUUCACCGCACAUGUGCGUUCAUUCAGGUACCCUUUUUUCAAUUUAGUUUUUGAAAAAUACUAAAGAAAGAGAAAGAUGAGAGAAAGUGUAUUAAAAAAAAAAGAGAGAGUAAAAUUCUCUCACUUUCUCUAAUCUUUCUCUUAUUUUUCUCUCUUUUUAGCAUUGCUCUUUUGGGAUGGGUGUUGACUGUUGAGUUUCUGCUGUCCUUGGAAGUAAUAAGUUGAAUAAAAGCAAUUGGAAGCCAUGGGCCAAAUAACACAACAUUUGGGCAACUAUUUUCCGAGCCUGGACUAGAAAUACAUCCAAGGGUGCUGUUGGCACACCUCUAAUAGCCUAUUGAAACCCCUGUUAUCUUUAUUUACAAGUUUACCCCUAACUGAAACUACCCCUGAACACCCACAUGCAGUGCAGACCUGGAAAUGAAGCCUGAAGACCCUAAUUACAGCAAUAGUCUUGCAGAUAUAUUCUUUUUCUUCUCAAGAGUUUGACGAGUGUUCAAAAGCUGUCUCUUUACCAGUGGUAAGAGUAAUUUAUACUUAUUCAAAUUAAUUUAUUGAUUUGUGUUAAUUAAAAAUUGUUCCUGAUUAUCUCAAGAAAUGUUAAUUGUGCCCUCCUGUUUUGAUGCAUGGAGGAGGAGUCCAAACCUAUAAAAAUGGUUUUCUUGAAUGGAUUAAUGAUGAGGACCAAAAACAUUAAUGUUUUAUUCUUUUUCUUUUUUUCUUUUUUUCAUAUUGAUUAAAUUCAUUUUUGGGAAGCUAGUAUUUUUAAGUUUUUUAGAGAGAAAGUUUGAAGAAAAAUAGAGCUAUUAAUUACGGCUGAAGAACUUUAAGAGUUAGAAAAUCAUUGGAAAUUGAAAUAUUUAUAAAUAAAAGGGAUGUUUAUUUAUUAAACAUUAUAUUUUAGUAUUAAGUGGAGUAUGAUUGAAAUAGAGGUUUUAAUAGGAUUAGGGAGGGAUGACUAUAAUAUUGGAUCGGGAUUUUCUCCUGAUCUGAUCUGAGCAAAUAAUUCAAUUAUUAAUUGGUAAUUAAUAAAUAAAAAAGUAAAAGAAGUUAAAUCUUACUCAUACACUAUUACUAAAAGAUACAUGGCAAAAGAUCUUUAAAAACUCAGUAGAGAUCUGUUGGGGGACUUAGCAUAAGAUUUAUAGGUAUCCAACCCAAAAGACUAGCCUUUUAGGUGGAGUGACCUACCACCUUAUAAACCCAAGCAUCUCUACUUUACUAACCAAUGUGGGACACAACUCAACAAUCCCCCCCUCGGACGAAACCACCGCCGGACUCCGGUCCUUUCGUCCGACACACCUGAGUUGUUCCACCACCACAUUCUCGAUCAACUUGUGCCUUGUGCAGAUAAUUUUGGACAGCAAUAUUAGAAGUACUCAUAAUUGAUUAAUCAUAAUCAUUUAAGUAAUUUAACAGCUGCAAAUUAAUUCAUGUUAAUCUUGCCUGAGAUGAUUAUCGACACUCGCAAAUAGCCGUAAUUAAUUUAGAUGGCAUACAAACACAUGUCCAUUACAAUUAUAAUGACAAUACUUGUGAAGGUGCAAGGACAAUUAAUUCUGCCGGCAAUUGAAGAGUAAUGUAAAAGAAUCAAUUGAUCAUUUAUAUAUAUAAUCGCAACGUUAGAUUUACUGUAAUCAUAAUCCAACUUAUCAAGUAAAUAUGAUCGAUACACGUAACAAACUCGUUAGCAUAUUAAUUACAUCUUACCUAUUCAUAAUAUAGAUUAUUACAAUUAUACAAACCACUUUUUAUUUAUAGAACGUGGGAGAGUUUACCCUUCGAAGAUCAAUUAUGAGUCGUUAGCGUACAUAGACACACGUAUUUUUUAAUCAUACCCUAAUCUAAUAUAUGUAUUAAUAAAUCUUCAAAUAUCCCCUCGGUGAUUUCAACAUCUUCCACUAUAAAUAUCACCUUUUGCAAAGUCAUAUGUUUUCUAUAGUUUGUAGUAAUGUACACAUUCAAUUUCGGAUGCCAACUUAUAAUUGGAUUGUCAUGUAUAUAAUCUAGUUUCUAUAUAAUCAUAGUUUUGAAAUUUGUAUAAUAAACGAUAAUACUACUGAAGUAACUAUAAGAAGCAAUACGUUGUAGACAAUUAAGCACCAGAAAAAAAUUAUAAAGCACUCUUUACUAAGAUAAUAAGCACUAGAAUAGAGCUUUAUAUAAAGCACUUUUUACUAACCUGUGCAAUGAAUAAUAUUGCAUCUUUAGAAGAUCACCUAUGACUUGAAGGGCUCCAUUAAUUCCUGCAAAGAAGGCAACAAUAUUACAAAAUUGGGUUUUGCUAAUUUUUCCAUAUUGCUUGUGACUUUAUAUAAUUCUUAUGUUGUAAUUUUAUAAAAUUUUCAUGCAGUAUGUUUGGAACUACCAAUAGUUUAUUUACAAAAUUGUCUUUUCAUUAUUUACAAGCUCAAUCACUCAAGUUGUUUUAGAAACUCGUCACUCUCAUUUUCCCCGACUUCUUCUUCCUCACUUCAUCUUGUUUUAGGAAUCUUUUUCCAUCUCAAAUAAACUUAUGAUGACAAGCUAUUUGUCACUCAUUUGCUUUUUAAUUUUUAAAAUUAGGGUCUAUGUGUGAUUCCCUAAUGACAUCAUACUCUAUAGUCCGAACAUCGUCAAAUAAUUAAAAAUAUACUAACAAUCAAUAAACUAGAGCCAUUUAAUGGUGCCGGUUUGUGGGGUAUAGUAUCCAUAGGGAACUGUAGUCAUGGCUUUGAAGCUGAUAAUUUUUAUUGUUAAUUGAACUUAAUUCACAAGAUAUUUUUCAAAUUCAAAAAGUGCUAAUUUUGAUGUUGAGGUUUGAUUUAAUGGCUUUUUUUUAAAGAUUUUUUAUUACCUUACAAAAAUUAGUCUAGCUUGCUCAGCCUCCAACUUAAAGGAGUUAGCUUUUGUUGGGGGACUUAGCAUAAGAUUUCUAGGUAUCCAACCCAAAAGGCUAACAUUUUAGGUGGAGUGACCUACCACCUUAUAAAUCCAAGUAUCUCUCAUUUACUAGUUAAUGUGAGACACAACUCAACAAUCCCCCCCUCGGACGAAACCACCGCCGGACUCCGGUCCUUUCGACCGACACACAUGAGUUGUUUCACCACCAUAUUCCGGCUACUAGGGUCUAGCUCUGAUACCACUUGUUGGGGGGACUUAGCAUAAGAUUUCUAGGUAUCCAACCCAAAAGGCUAACAUUUUAGGUGGAGUGACCUACCACCUUAUAAAUCCAAGUAUCUCUCAUUUACUAGUUAAUGUGAGACACAACUCAACAAUCCCCCCCUCGGACGAAACCACCGCCGGACUCCGGUCCUUUCGUCCGACACACCUGAGUUGUUCCACCACCACAUUCCGGCUAGUAAAGGGGAGAUGCUUGGGUUUAUAAGGUGGAGGCCCCUCCACCUAAAAGGCUAGUCUUUUGGGUUGGACACCUAGAAAUCUUAUACUAAGUCCCCCCAACAAGUGGUAUCAGAGCUAGACCCUAGUAGCCAGAAUGUGGUGGUGGAACAACUCAGGUGUGUCGGACGAAAGGACCGGAGUCCGGUGGUGGUUUCGUCUGAGGGGGGGAUUGUUGAGUUGUGUCCCACAUUGAUUAGUAAAGGGGAGAUGCUUGGGUUUAUAAGGUGGUAGGUCACUCCACCUAAGAGGCUAGUCUUUUGGGUUGGAUACCUAGAAAUCUUAUGCUAAGUUCUCCCAACAAGAUCAGAUCGAGAGGAUCCUAUUCCGACUAUAAUAGUCCAUCUCUAUAUCUAAAUAAGAAAAUGGCCUAAAACUUUUUUCAUGAGAGGAGCUCGUAACAAUAUGCUUCUACUUAUCACUACUACAUGUACAUCAGUGAAUUUAAGAAGAUAUAUAUUGCCAGCUCAUAUGGACUGCAGAAUCUAUUCAGCUCUGUAGUUCUUAAUGCUUACAAGCUUCAAAAGUGAGACCAAACUACCAAACGAAGCCAAUGUACUGAGAAUAGACGAAACUGAAAGGCAAUCCACAAAUGCCAUUCUCACCCGUACGUAGUGGUGGAUGCAUGUAUGGGUUCAUAUGGAGGAAACACGUGACAGUCAAUUGCAUGCAGCCACGUGUCCGGAAUUUACGACGGUCAAAGAAGAAGACAUAUCAUGCAUUAUGAUAUGUUACUGUACGAAAGAAAGCAGACUGCAGACACUAACACUCGAGGACAACGUUGGCAUAAAUUAAAACAGAAUUGACAAUGCAAGUCCAGGGAAACACAACUGGCCAUGUUAACUCUUAAAGUUUCCCCAGUCACUGAUCACAUGCAGGGCCGAGGCCGACCACACACAUUUGCUUACCUGAUACUGUUGUACAUAUGUACAUACACUGAUAGGCACACUACAUAUUUUAACUCUCGACGCUAGAGUUGAGAGUAAAUGCCUACUUUAAUCAAAACCGCUGGAUUUUAAAUCCUAGGAGUUCAAAACACCCAUCUGACGACUGGUAUAUUUAAGAAGUGAAAAAAUAAAAUAAAGGAAAGAAAGUAAAAUGGAUUUUGAUUUUGUGAAUAGAUUAAUAAUAUAAGUAUUUUAUAAUAAGUAAAAGCUCUGGCAAUUGCAUGUGCUUGCUCUGACGGAGCCUGCCUUUGCCUGGUUUUGCAGCCUUCGUGACCAUAUUCAUGUGGUUGGAGCUGGGUUGCUUGUCUUUAAGCCAGCCUCUCCGUUCUUUUAUUUCCACACUCCUUUUUCUUUAUCACUUGGAUUUGGAUGAACUGUGUAUAUAUUAUUAAAAUGUUUUUAUUCUAAACAACGAGUAGUCAAGAACGAUGGUUUGUCUUUGCUCUUCGACCCACAAUUGAUAAAUUAACUUCAUUUCACGGUGUAUUGUUGUAGUUGUACCUUAACGCCUGAUUCACCGCCAAUACCAGUUAUACAAAUACUAUGUUCCCGAUACUCGAAAUUUUAACGUAGUAAAUAAGAACACGCACGCACGCACGCAUUCGGAAAGCUUGAGGAUUUUACCACUUCACUCAUGGGCCCAGGAUCUUGAAUUAAAGAUGAAUUCUCUUUCUUUCUCUGGAAAUUAUUCAUUGUGGAAUUCCUCCUGUCAAAUUUAAAUUUCUCGCGAUUAUAAUUUUAUGCCCAAGCUGGUCAUGUCACUUUUUAUGGAAUUGGAGUAGUGAUGAGAUUGGAAUAUGUGAAUCUUUAAUGAAGAAAUGUUGUUAAUCACUUUUUAUAUGUGUGUGUGAUGUAUACUAUUCAUACACCGAUACACAUGCCAUUGGAAUACUAGUCCAGGUGUGAUGUUUUUGAAUUGUGAUGUAAGCUUCUUCUAUGAGUUAGAUAAAGGUUAAUUAUGCGCAUAAUAUUGGAACGCAAGCUUGAGUAAUUAAUUAAGACAAUCAAAUUAUAAUGAAGCCGAUAUGAAUUAGCAUUAGCUCUUUAAUUAUAUAUAUAUAUAUAUUGUAACUAAACCUUGAGUAAUUAAUUAAAACAAUGAAAUUCAUAAGAGGCCUCUAUACAUUAGCCUUAGGGGAGAAUGAAAAUGUUAAACUGCUCUCAUUAUUAAUUUAUUAUCCUUAUUUAUUGGAAGUUUGAAUUGAGUUAUAAUUAAUAAACAUAUCACUGUCCUCCAUCACAAUUCCAAUGAAAGAUACUUCCCUGUUUAAAUGAAUGAUCAUUUCUAUCUGAGAGCAUAUGUUCGUGUGCACAGUGUGACAUGUGAUUGCAAGCAUGUGAAAUGAAAAGAUAAAAUAAAAUUACUGAUCCUUUCUCAUACUUUCCAAAAUAUAACGACAUAAGCUCAGUAAUGCUUUUCUAUCCUUUAUCAAAGAUGUGUGUAUAUAUAUUGUGUAAGGAGUACGUCUCAUUUUAAUAGAGUGAGAAUGUCAUUAACAGACAAAAAAUAUAAAUUUUAAUAUAUUAAUAGAUUAAAAAAAAUACAAUCUUUGAUGUAUUAAAAUAUUUAUUUUUUUUGAGAUAUUUCAGUGGCAUUCUCACUUUAUUAAACUGAGGAUGUCCUCUUAACCUAAAAUUAUUAUCCAAGAUCCUUCGAGGUGGGAUCUCGGCUCAUUCGAUGUUUAUCACACAAGUAUGUAUUCCUUCAUCCCAUAAAUUAUUUCUCUCCUUGUGCCUUGAAUAUGCUUCCUCAAUUCAUUGACACAGUGUCUCACGUCUUAUUGGAAGUGAGAUUACUAGGUUUGUGGUGAUAGACAGACCAAAAAUAAUGAGAAAGUGCCUCUAUAUCUACAUCUACACAGUCGUUAAUUAUAUUAUAAAUUUUUUAUGAGAAUUCUUAAAAAAAAAAAAAUCUAAGUCUAAGAACCAUUCCAAUUGUUAAUAAGUCAUGAUAUGUGUACAAAGUCAAAAUGUAGAAUUUUUAUUCCAAAUGACAUGACACUUAAUAGGACGGUCAUUAAUUAGUGACAAAGAAUACAAAUUUUGUAUCUAUACUACUAUAAAUAUUAGGACAUACUACUAAAAUAUUUUAAUGUAUCAUUUAUUUAUUAAUAUUGUGAAAUUAUCUCAUCAAUGAUAUUUUCAGAAAGUCAAUUAUUACUAAACAAGCCAUUGAUCGGUAACAACGAAUACAAACUCUACAUCUAUACUAUUAUAAAUAUUAUGACAUGUAUGCUUUAUACACUACUAGAAAUAUUUCAUAUGAAUUAUUCUAAAACAUUCUGGCAAUACUGUACACCAAUAAAUUCAAUGAUUAAAUUAUAAAAAAAUGCUUCAACAAAAAAUAAAUUAUCAUAUAUAUGUUAUUAGGUCUAAAGGCCAAUUUGAGAAUAAGUUUUUAGAGGUUCAAAAGUGAUUAUGAGCUGAAACUUAAUUUUGAUGUUAAGUAAAUUUGUUCAAAAAUCACCCAAGCACACAGUAGAUUUUAAAAAGCAGGAAACAAAUAUCUUUUCAAAAUUUAACUUUAAGAAUCAGUUUUAAACUGAAUACAAUUCUAUCCUCACGUAUAUUAUGAAAAUUGAAAAUUAUCCUUAUUCAAUUAGAAAAUAAAAUAAUUAAAUUUAAAUAAAUUAUUUUUUAUUACCAAUCAUAUUGAAAUAACAAAAUAAAAAAUAAAAUUAAUGAAAUAAAAAUAUUUAUUUUAGUUAUCAAUUAUUAUAUAUGCACAAUAAAAAUAUUAUAUAUACAUAUAAUUAAAUGUGUAAAUAAAUUUUAUUCAACUUUAUAUAUAUUUCCGUCAUUUGUGUUCUUAUAAUAUUUUAACAAGUGAGAUUUAUUAAAUAUAUAUGACUGUUUUUAAAAUUCAUAAUACUUUUUAAAAUAAAUUUUAUCAAAUAUUUUAUUAAUUUUUUUACAAUUGAUUAUUUGAACAAGAUAACUAACUAGAAUUAUUUUAAAAACUAUAGCAUUAUCAAACUGGCCCUAAAUAUGAAUUAGAAAUGCUAAUAAUUGAUGAUCAUAAUUAAUGCUCCUUUGUAACACUGAAAGGUGAAUAUAUUUCGCUAAACCGCAAGAAUAUAAUUUAGUAUGAAAAAUAAUCUUGGGAGAAAUAGAAUCGGAUUUGCAGAUCGCAAAUGUAUUUGUAUAUGCAUAUCGUGGGAAUGAUCUUUCUUAUGAAAAUCAAAUUUACACCAAAAAAAAAAUAAUCUGCGAAAUCGCUUUUGACCAUGUCCAAAAUUUCUAAAAAAAUUUUAAAAAACGAUAUUAUAUGAAAACUUUCUUGAAAGUCAGAUUCGGAUCUGCAGUGAUUAUGAGUUCUCCUUUUAGCUUUUGUUCGCCCAAGACCAUUCAGUGUUUGGUUGGCUACCACAUUCUCAAUCUCUUAAUUAAGCUGAACAGCCUUAUUAGCCGCCAAAAGAGCCGACAAUCACAGAGCCAAAACCACAAGGAUCAAAUAAAUAAAUAGACGUAAAAUAACAUAAAAAAAAUAUUAUUUAUUAUAAAGAAGAGAUAAAGUGAAAAAUAAUUAUUCAAUAUUUCUUUAGAAAAAUAAUGGGAUAAAACCGUAAAAAAAAAAAAAGAGCUUUGACUUUGACCGAACCCCAGGAGCAGGAGAGUCCAAAAACCGUUGGGUGGUAGCGACAGUCAUGAUUCUGUUCUGUUCCAGAGAUAUAAUAACUGACUGGAACGGAUCUGUAAUUAGUAUAUUAAAUUACCCAGCUUUCCCGUAUAUUAUCAUCAUUAUUUCUCUGCUCCCUCUUUCCUUUCUAUUUGACCAUUGCAGACGCCGCUUGCCGCGCUUACUAGUUCGAUUCCUUUUUCUUUUCUUUUUUUUGUUUUAACCCACUAAUUUCUUCACAAACCUUCUUUUUAAUUAAGAAUUUUAUUAUUAUUUUUUUAAAUUACUUAAUUACUCUUUUUAUUUUUUCUUUUUUAAUUUCAUAAAUUCUCAUCAAUUCAUUAAGAUAAAUACUUUUAGUUACAAAUAAUUAGAAUCACUAGCUAAGAAGAACAAAACACACCAUUAAAAAAUAAACGUCAACAAAUUUUUAUCAACCAUGAAAGUUAAUAAAUAUUAAGAAAUUAAUUUUUAUCAAACAAUGAAUAUCAAGAAAAAAAUCUUAUAUAUAGAAAGCCUUAAAUAUAAAUCAUAAUCAAGAAUGGGUAUAACCAAAUCGGACCAGAAAAAUUAUCGAUCCGGCUUCAUUUUUUGUAGUUUGGUUUAAUAUUUUUCUUAAGAAAAAAAUCAAAUAUUCUAGUUCGGUAUAAAACCAAAUACUCCAGCUUGUUUUUCGAUUUAAAACUUUAAAUCCAAAAAAUAAACCAAAAAACUAAAAAAAUAAUUUUUGAAUAAAAAAAAUGCUACUUGACGUUUAGAUUGUGUUGAACCAAACUGGUUCGAUUUAUUUUUUUUAUUAUUUUGGUUCCAUAAUUUAUAAGUAAAAAGAAAAAAAAAAAACAAAUGGGUUAACACCAAAACUGAACCUAAUAGAAAUCUCCAAACCGAUUUUGUAAAAUUCCCAUAUCGAAUCAAACCAAAAUUUUUGGUUUAUUCCUAACCAAACCGAACAGAACUGGUGCCCACCCCUAAUAAUAAUAUACUAAGAAAAGCUAAAAGAAUGAAUUCAAAAGAAAAACCAAGGCAGUGUUUGUUCUUUAUCUGAAAUUUGAAUGGAUCUGAAUAUUAUUGAAGUCUGAAUGUGUAUGAAUGCAUGUGUUAGAAUAAUAUGCUUAUUUUUAUUUUUUGAAUAUAAGUGGUAAUUUGGUUGUUUUAUAAACUCAAAAUAUCUUAAAUCUAAUAUUUUUAUACUUAGGACCUUGAAAGUGUUAUAUAUAUAUUUGAAGUUUAAAUAAGUAUAUACUUGUAGUGUUUUCUCGUACAAUUGUUUUUAUAUGUUAUAGAUAUUUAUAAAGUAAGCAUCUGAUAUAUAAUUUAUGAGAAAUAAUUUUGAUAACAUUAUUUUUUUUUGUAAUUUAACAUAAUAUUUAUACAUUAAAAGUGGUUAUCUAAUAAUAAAAGAAUUUGUUUUAAAAUUCAAAUUGAAUGUAUGUUAAGUAUUUAAUACCAAGUAACAUUUGAAAUCAAGGGAAUUACAGUACAACAUCUAAGAGCUAAGUAGAAAAUAAAUAUAUUUAAUAACGGUAUUUGUAAGAAAAAAAUUAAUUUUUCAUUCAGAUAUUUUAUCAUCAAGAUAAAAGUUAAGAAACUUUACAUUUUCUAUUCAGAUACAAAAAUCUUACAAUAAGACUUCAAAUACAAAAACAAGUCAAAAUAUCUUAAAUUAAGCCAAAAUCAAGACCUUGGAUAUAAUAUUUUAUAUAUAUACUAGAAAAUAGAACCGCGCUUCAUGCGGUUUCGAAAAAAGAAUUUAGUAUAAUUCUUUUUUCUUACUUUACACUUGAUGAAAUUGAUAAAAAAAAAUUAAUUGAUUUUUUUAAGAUGAGGCAGCCUUAUAAAAAACAAAAAAAAAACUAUUAGCCAGCAAUACAAAUAAAGAAGCAACGCAAGAUAAAGAAUAAAAUGAGAGAAUAUAUUAUAGAGUGAUUUUAUUCAUUCCAAUUGUGUGUGUACAAAACAAAAAGAUGAGCUCUCCUUUUAUAGUUACAUAAUCACUCCAUGAAAUUAAUGAAAAAUUAUGGAUCAUAAUUUCUUGUGAGAUAGUAGGAGUUAUAUGGAAGCUAAAGGUUGCUAAUGAGAGAUAGUGGCGAGACUAAGGAUAUAUGUUAUGAACAUCUACAUUUAUUUUAAUAAAUUCAUAACACUCCCCCUUGGAUGUUCAUUACAAAGAAUAUGUCUCAUUAAAAUCUUUACAUAAUUGUUAUUGUGUAAUUAUAAUCAAAUUAAUUAUGAGAAGAUAAAAAGUCAAAUUUAAAAGAAAAUUUCUCUAUUUAUUAUAUAAUAGAGAAUAUACAAAGAUGAGAAAUGGUGAUGCCACAUCACAUUCUCAAGUCUCAGCUUUAUAUAUAUACUAGAAAAUAGAACCGCGCUUCAUGCAGCUUUGAAAAAAGAAUUUAGUAUUAUCUUUUUUUCUUACUUUACACUUGAUGAAACUGAUUAAAAAUAUGAAUUAAUUUUUUUAAGAUGAGGCAGCCUUAUAAAAAACAAAAAAAAACUAUUAGCCAGUAAUACAAAUAAAAAAGCAACACAAGAUAAAGAAUAAAAUGAGAGAAUAUAUUAUAGAGUGAUUUUAUUCAUUCCAAUUGUGUGUGUACAAAACAAAAAGAUGANNNNNNNNNNNNNNNNNNNNNNNNNNNNNNNNNNNNNNNNNNNNNNNNNNNNNNNNNNNNNNNNNNNNNNNNNNNNNNNNNNNNNNNNNNNNNNNNNNNNNNNNNNNNNNNNNNNNNNNNNNNNNNNNNNNNNNNNNNNNNNNNNNNNNNNNNNNNNNNNNNNNNNNNNNNNNNNNNNNNNNNNNNNNNNNNNNNNNNNNNNNNNNNNNNNNNNNNNNNNNNNNNNNNNNNNNNNNNNNNNNNNNNNNNNNNNNNNNNNNNNNNNNNNNNNNNNNNNNNNNNNNNNNNNNNNNNNNNNNNNNNNNNNNNNNNNNNNNNNNNNNNNNNNNNNNNNNNNNNNNNNNNNNNNNNNNNNNNNNNNNNNNNNNNNNNNNNNNNNNNNNNNNNNNNNNNNNNNNNNNNNNNNNNNNNNNNNNNNNNNNNNNNNNNNNNNNNNNNNNNNNNNNNNNNNNNNNNNNNNNNNNNNNNNNNNNNNNNNNNNNNNNNNNNNNNNNNNNNNNNNNNNNNNNNNNNNNNNNNNNNNNNNNNNNNNNNNNNNNNNNNNNNNNNNNNNNNNNNNNNNNNNNNNNNNNNNNNNNNNNNNNNNNNNNNNNNNNNNNNNNNNNNNNNNNNNNNNNNNNNNNNNNNNNNNNNNNNNNNNNNNNNNNNNNNNNNNNNNNNNNNNNNNNNNNNNNNNNNNNNNNNNNNNNNNNNNNNNNNNNNNNNNNNNNNNNNNNNNNNNNNNNNNNNNNNNNNNNNNNNNNNNNNNNNNNNNNNNNNNNNNNNNNNNNNNNNNNNNNNNNNNNNNNNNNNNNNNNNNNNNNNNNNNNNNNNNNNNNNNNNNNNNNNNNNNNNNNNNNNNNNNNNNNNNNNNNNNNNNNNNNNNNNNNNNNNNNNNNNNNNNNNNNNNNNNNNNNNNNNNNNNNNNNNNNNNNNNNNNNNNNNNNNNNNNNNNNNNNNNNNNNNNNNNNNNNNNNNNNNNNNNNNNNNNNNNNNNNNNNNNNNNNNNNNNNNNNNNNNNNNNNNNNNNNNNNNNNNNNNNNNNNNNNNNNNNNNNNNNNNNNNNNNNNNNNNNNNNNNNNNNNNNNNNNNNNNNNNNNNNNNNNNNNNNNNNNNNNNNNNNNNNNNNNNNNNNNNNNNNNNNNNNNNNNNNNNNNNNNNNNNNNNNNNNNNNNNNNNNNNNNNNNNNNNNNNNNNNNNNNNNNNNNNNNNNNNNNNNNNNNNNNNNNNNNNNNNNNNNNNNNNNNNNNNNNNNNNNNNNNNNNNNNNNNNNNNNNNNNNNNNNNNNNNNNNNNNNNNNNNNNNNNNNNNNNNNNNNNNNNNNNNNNNNNNNNNNNNNNNNNNNNNNNNNNNNNNNNNNNNNNNNNNNNNNNNNNNNNNNNNNNNNNNNNNNNNNNNNNNNNNNNNNNNNNNNNNNNNNNNNNNNNNNNNNNNNNNNNNNNNNNNNNNNNNNNNNNNNNNNNNNNNNNNNNNNNNNNNNNNNNNNNNNNNNNNNNNNNNNNNNNNNNNNNNNNNNNNNNNNNNNNNNNNNNNNNNNNNNNNNNNNNNNNNNNNNNNNNNNNNNNNNNNNNNNNNNNNNNNNNNNNNNNNNNNNNNNNNNNNNNNNNNNNNNNNNNNNNNNNNNNNNNNNNNNNNNNNNNNNNNNNNNNNNNNNNNNNNNNNNNNNNNNNNNNNNNNNNNNNNNNNNNNNNNNNNNNNNNNNNNNNNNNNNNNNNNNNNNNNGGGAGUUAUAGGGAAGCUAAAUGUUGCUAAUGGGAGAUAGUGGGGAGACUAAGAGAUAUAUAUUAUGAACAUCUACAUUUAUUUUAAUAAAUUCAUAACACUCCCCCUUGGAUGUUCAUUACAAAGAAUAUGCCUCAUUAAAAUCUUUACAUAAUUGUUAUUGUGUAAUAACAAUCAAAUUAAUUAUGAGAAGAUGAAAAGGCAAAUUUAAAAGAAAAUUUAUCUAUUUAUUAGAUAAUAGAGAAUAUACAAAGAUGAGAAAUGGUGACGCCACAUCACCUCCUCAAGUCCAAGCUUUAUAUAUAUAUAUAUAUAUAUAUAUAUAUAAGAAAAUUCAAAAAAAAAUGCAAAGGAGAGUGAAAUCUUAGUGUUUAAUUCUUUGAAUGUGAAAAUAAAGAGAGAAUAUUAAUCAUAAUGUAGAGAGAGAAAGAGAAAAGUGAAGGGUAAUUUUAAAUUUUAAAUUUAAAUUUUUAAUGAUGAAAUUAUUUUUUAAAUGUUUCUAAAGAAUAAUUCAGUGGAUUCAAAUAACCCCACUUUUUUGUUGCAUUUAUCAGUAAUUUAUAUGAUUUUAUUUUAUUUUUAAAAAAGUGGUUUUCCUCUAAAGACAAUGUUACCCCUUACUUAAAAGUUGAUGUUAUUUACUUUUUUACCAUAAAUAUAGAGCUAAGUUUCAAACUACAGAAGGUUGAUUCAUCAAUUCAAAAUUGCACCAACAUUAUUAAUAGAUUAAAAAUCCUCUUCCAAUAAGGGAUUCCUAACCCAUUGUUCAUGUUAAUGAAGAAAUUCAUUACUAACAAUUUAAAAUUUAAAAAUCUCAAAAUUAUCCUUCAUUAAUCUCUUUUCUUUUCUACUCAUGAUUUCAUAGUCUCUCUCAACUCUUACAUUUUCUAAACUAAACUCUCAAUUUCACCCUCCUUAGGAAUUUCUUCAUUUUGAUAACAUUGAAAAUUAUCAUAGUUCAAUUUUCAAUACAAAAAUAAAAAAGAAACAAUGACACUGAACAAGAUUAUCAUAACACUAAUGGUUCUGGAUCACAAUAAAUGAAAUUUGAAGGGAUAUUAUUUUAACAAGUUUAAUGUGAAUGUAUACAUAUUACUCGUUAUUUAAUUUGGAUGUAUGUAUUAUUAUAAAUUUUUAUCAUAUUUUAUGUAACAAACUAAAGUUCACUAGAUUUCAUUUAAUGAAAUUUUUUUGUUUCAUAUAAUUUUACUUGUUUUAAAAAGAAAAAAAAGACUUGUUUAAAUAAUUGUAUCAAACUUGCUCUAAAAAAUAAAAGACAAUUUAAACUUAUAUCUAUUUUGGUCCUUAAAUAAUAAAACUUCACUCUUACAAUAAGAUUUCCCAAAAGCAUAUACAUUACUUUUUAUACUCACAACAAUCGUAACAUUAUAAUUUACUAAACACCAAGCAACUUUUUAAUCAAUUGCUUAUUUCAUUAUCACUGUAAUCUCAAACUAACCCUUAAUUUUAAUUUUGCAAACUUUUUAAAGAUAUUGUAUUAUCCGUUUAUAAAUGUUAUUGUAUAGUUAAGACCCGUAUAUUUUAAAAAUCAAUCACUUAUCACGCACAACAAUUUUGUUCCCAAAAGAACUCUAAUAAUGAAGGAAUCCUGUCCAAGUGGGCUAAUCCGAGUUUUGUGCUCUUUUCAAAAUCCAGAGUUGUUUAAGGGCAGUUUGGGGUCUGCAUGUUUAAGUGCUUUUUUUAAUAAUGCAAUUUGGAAGGUUGUGCGGUGGCAGAAAGUUUUGAGACAUGAAAGAAAACGUAACACAACAUAACCCAAUGACCUGUACCUUUUCGGUUAAGAGGAUAGGUACAGUAGAGAGAGGACCAAACAGGUCAAGGUAUCAUAUUUUGGGAGACCCACAAUAUGCCAUAAACAGAAUAGGCAAAUAUUAAGAUUAAAAUUUGCAAGGUUGAAUACAGCGAAGCACUAGCAAUAAUAAUUAUAAUAUUGUAAAAUAUUGAGGGUGAGAGAGAGAGAGAGAGAGAGCAAAAAGAAAAGGAGUUGGUAUUUCUUUGGGUCUUUGAUAUUUCAUUGGACAACCUUGUCUUCGAUUGUCGUGUGUGUGCCCACUAGCAGCUUUUGUGUCUUCUCCUUUUCCAAUUCCAAUUCCCCACCCCUACCCUUCCCUAGUCCUAGCAAGCCCUUCUCCUUCUUCUUCCUAAUAAAUAUAUUUUUAAUCAUCUCUUUUCCAUUUAUUAAUAUGUAUUUAUUAUUUUCUCGACGGUUUUCUUUUCUUUUUCUUUUUCUUUCCCACCACCCUCAACAGUAAUGAUUUUCUCGUUACGGGUAUCGUUGUUGUGGAAUCUGAGGAGUUUUGGCUGUGAAAAAGUGACAGUUAUCCCAUUACAAAAACAAGAUCACCAAAAAAACAAACACAAGUGCACGGGCGUUGCGUUUAGAAACCAAAAAAAAAAAAAAAGGUUCUUUUUGAUUGAUUGAUUGAUGUGAUCAUCAAACAAACAAAACAAAACGGUUCUUUUAGCCAAUUUUCCUGUCCUAUAUUUUUAUCUCUAUAUUUAGGCUUCUGUCUUCUGGGGAGCUAUUGUUUUUGUUCUGGUUAUUUUUCCCUUUCUUUUGUCAUUCUUAGUUUUUUCUUGUUUCUUUUUUUCUCUUGUUGGGGUUGUUUUUUUUUUUUUUUUGGUUAUUUGUUUGUAUAUUAAUAAUUAUUAACUGAAAACCAUGUCUCAACAAAGGCCAUUACAGAUGGUGGGUGGUAACCAUCCUGGAGAUUACAAUGACACAACUUUCACAAAAAUUUUUGUCGGAGGGUUGGCUUGGGAGACUCAGAGAGAUACCAUGAGACGUUAUUUUGAGCAAUUUGGUGAGAUCCUUGAGGCUGUUGUUAUCACGGACAAGAACACAGGGAGAUCCAAGGGUUAUGGCUUUGUAAGGUCCCUUUACUUUGGCAACAAAUUUUUUGUUUCUUUCAUUUUUUUUUUAAGUUGAGUUAAUGCCGGUCUGUUUUGGUUUCUAAUAACUAGGUCACGUUCAAGGAUCCUGAAGCAGCCAUGCGAGCAUGUCAAAACCCAUCUCCGGUGAUUGAUGGAAGAAGAGCUAACUGCAAUCUUGCAUCUCUUGGUGCACACAAGACUCGUCCGCCAACUCCUCAACAUGGUUCUUAAUUAUCUCUCUUCGCAUUUCUAUUUCCAUUUCUGCUUCUUAAUGGCACUUGCUUAUGAAAUAUACAUCCAACAAUAUCCAGCCUUUCUAUGCAAAAGCUAACAAUCCCUCGACCAUUCACCAAAAGUCCAAAAUCAUGCGCGCAUUGUCAAAUAUUUGAUUUUUACGCCUCUAAAAUAAGUUUUUCUCUUCUUUUCCUACAUUAUUCAUGAGUUGGUCUAUAAUCAAUGUUUCAAGCGAUUAAAAGCUCAUUUUAGUUUAUUUUUAUAUUUAUGUAUAUGCUAAUUAAAAAUGCAAUGUGGAUCUCAAACUAGUGAAUAUGGGGUAAAACAUAAUUUAUUAAUGGACGAAAGAUUAAUUUUCAGGUGGAGGACGGUUUAGACCAGCACCAGGAUUGGUGGCUCCGCCUGCUUAUCAUGGUGGCUUCUCAUCAUCUUAUGUCCAUCAACCCACCGGCCAAUACACAUUUCCUUAUUCAGCUUAUGGGUAAGCACAAACAUCAUAUGAAAAAAAAAUAAUAAUAUUAAAUGCUCCCUCAUUAUUUUUGUUAUUUUCCCUCUGUUCCUCUUUUCGCCCUUGUAAGUUUCAGGAUUUUAUCUUAUAGGUACACUGGAUAUUCCCAAGACACAAUGUAUGCUUUGGUUAGUAUAUCUCCAACCUCCCUGAGCAAUUAGGCUACUAGUGAAUGUUCAGGUUUCAUUCAUUUGCUUGAGCUAAUUAAGUUUAUUUGCAUUGUACUGCAGAACUAUUACAAUAUUUAUGGAGGUCAACAAUUCUCACCUUACUAUGGAACUGGGUCAUCAGGGUCACCUGGAAUGUUUCACAAUUUCUAUCCAUUUUAUGCUCAAUAUGCACAGAGCAGUCAAGCUCAAGGGUUUGGGGUUCAUUAUCCCCAAAUGCUACAAUAUGGCCCUUUCUUGCCUCACCAUUAUGGCACUGCCGGAAUCUUGUCACUUCCAACUUCUAUGCCCGCCACAACUUCUUCAACAGGUCAUACUUCAAUAAUUUCUACACAUUUAUAAAAUUAGAAAAUUCGUAUAUGUGUUAUGUAUCUCCAAAUCCAAUUUAUUUAUUAAAGCAGGUGUAACGACGACAACAAUAGGGGUGACUGGAACGGGAACUAGUGCUCUGCAAGCCUCGGCAACGGCUUCCGAACAAAAUUCAUCAACAUAGUUGACUUCAAGAAGUAUAACGUCUUCCUUACAACAUUAACAAGAUCCAGAAAAUGGCGAAAAGGGUCGAGCAAAAGGGACAAAAAAACGAAUAAGAAGAAUCAUUUUACAGUCAUCAAUGAUUCAGGGAAAAAAAAAGAUUCCUCAUUAGAUAGCAUAACAAGAGAAGGAAUCCAAGAAUUCAGCAUCAAAAUUAUCAUUUCAAGGAACGAGCAGCAUUUGAGAGAUAAAGCUCGGUCUACUAACUUUCUUCAAUUCAUUCAUGCUCAAAAUUAUUUUUCUUUAUCAACAUCGUUGUCAUACUCAUCAUACAUGCUUGCUUUAAUUAAGGACAUAAGGGAGUCUUAAGUAGUUGUUAGAAUUAGAGAACCGUGGGGAAAAAAUCAAAUUCAUUUGUGUAUUUGUGUUAUAAGGUAGAAGCUAAAUAUUGGCUUUGGAUUCUACCUAGGAUCCUAAUUGACAGUCGAUUAUGCCUCGAAUUCAUACAGCAUCCGAAGACAUAACUCUUUGUCUAUAUUUGGAAGUAAAUUGGUUCAAAAGAUUGAUUUUGUAUCUUUGAACCAAGACUGAUUGGUCAGGAAAAGGCGAGCCUGGAUGGCUUGACCCAUUAACUUGUAAUCUCUUUCUUCAUUUUUCAUGAUUGAUACUUUUUUAAGAUAGGAUUAGUUGGAAAAACGGAAGAUGUAUGGAUGUCUUUUUUCGCGGAUAAUCAUCUCCUUUACCUUUCAUCUUUCGCUUUCAGUCGGCAUUUCUUUUAUUUUUACAAAUCUUUCUUUGUGCAUGAGUGCGUGUGUAUGGAAUCCAAGGGGAUCUCAGAAAUGAGGUCAACGCUAUGCUGUUAUCUUUUCCUGCGUCAAAGUUUAGCAUGCCGGAGGCAUCAUGCACUUCAAAAUUAAUUAUCGGAAAAUUCCGGCCAUCUCAAGUUGUGAAAAUUUAAUUUCUUCUGGAGUUGGAUUAUUAGCACUCCGCCCCUCUUUUGAAAAAGAAAAAAAAAAAAGUUCCUGUUUAACUGUCCUGAAGGUUCCUGUUUAACUGUCCUGAAGAAUUCAAAAAAAAGUUCCUGUUUAACUGUCCUGAAGAAUUCAUUAUUUAUAAGGACACUUACAUUCUUUCAAAAGUACCCCUUCAAUCACCAGCCAAAGAAGGGCAUGCUAACUGAAACCUCAACGAUGGCUCCAAUCCCAGUACCGUGUGAAUGUAGAGUUCCUUUACUUUUACACCGAUAUAUUUCUCAACUUUUCAUUUUAAAUUAGCUUCACUGUCCAUUUUCUUCCUCAUACUCAUAUGGCCAUUGGGGUUAAAAUCCUCUUUUGAUCUGAGUUUUUUUUUUUAUAAAUCUUGUGUUAUUUAUAUUUUUAUUUUAGUGUAUGAUUAAGAUUUAAUUAUUUUUUUUAAUUUAUUAAUUAUCAAUCACAUUAAUAAAAUUUAUUAUUAAUGAAAAUAUCAAAUCAAGAGAAGAUGCUGAUCUACGGCAAUGACCGCCUUGCACGGGUUUAGAAAUUCUUCUUGAAAGUGACGGCCUAUUUGAUUUAAUCAGUGCUGCCAAAGAUGACACUCUGUCAAUCGGGUAUUUGGCUGGAGGUUGCGCUUCCAUUAAAUUGCAAUAUUUUUCAGAAAGGAAAAAAAAAAAAAAAGAGAGAAAGAAAAAUGUGAAGCUAUUUUUUGACCGGAAAGAGAUUGAAUUAGGAGUAAUUUUGAAAGAAUACAAGUGCCCUUAUAAAAAAAAAGAACUUUGACAUUUUCUUGAAUAAGAGUUCACUGAAAUUUUGAAAAAAAUAUCAUGAUACGGGAUCAACGUCAAUGAUGUAUGAUUACGGUUCGUUCACAUAUGUUUCAAUUAAAAAUCAACCACAAUUUCAAUAUUACCAUAUCCAAGACGAUCAAAUCUGUACAAGAACACAACGCGUUCACAAGUAGCUUCAAAUUUCAUCUAUCAACUAACAUGUCAGUACGGUUAAAUUACUAAUAUCUGAAGCUAGAAUCGAAAUUAACAUAUUCACUUCAAAGCAAAAUUUAGCCACAGAAAAUGAGUAAUCCUUUUUUACCUCAAUAAAAUUGUUUCAAAUAAUGUGCCGGGGCCCGGGGGCGGCCAAGACCAAGUUGUACCUCAUGUGCGGGUCGGGUGGAUCAAAUAGUUGACGUGAGACCUGAAAAGCCCACGUGUUGAAAUUUGUAAAUGCCUGGUAGCCCGUGGCCCAAAGCCCAAGCCCUUAUUGUUCGCGGUGAAGAGUUGACGAAGGCAAUAUUAGCCGUUCGUUCAAAUUUCCACAAGCACCUGGACUACGACGAGUACGAUGCUGUCUGACAAUUUGUGGCGAAUAACGCAUUCAGCUACUUCAACAAGCUUAUACUGCUCAGAAUCUAAGAAAAUAUGACAUCUGAGUCUGUUUGGUUGCUGCCUAUGACGUAGUUUGUUGAAUGAAUAUGGGAGGCACCAUAUGUUCGAUGGAAUUUCUCAGUGGGACAUGGAAAUGCAAAUGGAAUUGAGAGCAUCAGCUUGUACAGCGUAAGAUAUUUAACUUGCAAUUAUGCAACAUGAGUGUAAGAUGGCCAAGGCUUCUAACACCUACUUACCUCUCUCAAAUCAUAAAGAAGCAGAAAAGCCCAUUAACAGCUCUUAAGAUUUUCAAGGAAGCCAAGGAGAAAUAUCCUAAUUAUCGACAUAAUGGUCCGGUGUAUGCCUCCAUGAUUGGCAUUCUUUCAGAAUCAAAUCGAAUUACUGAAAUGAAAGAGGUUAUUGAUCAGAUGAAAGGUGAUUCAUGUGAGUGUAAAGAUUCAGUUUUUGCCACUGCAAUCAGGACUUAUGCUAGAGCAGGACAGUUAAACGAGGCCGUUUCUCUGUUUAAAAACCUUUCGCAAUUCAAUUGUGUGAAUUGGACUCAAUCUUUUAAUACCCUUUUGAAGGAAAUGGUGAAAGAGUCUAAGCUUGAAGCUGCUCAUAUUCUUUUCUUGAGAAGUUGUUAUGGAUGGGAAGUGAAGUCACGGAUUCAGUCAUUGAAUUUGCUGAUGGAUGUCUUGUGUCAAUGUAGACGUUCUGAUCUUGCAUUGCAUGUUUUCCAAGAGAUGGAUUUUCAAGGUUGUUAUCCGGAUAGGGAAAGUUAUCAUAUCUUAAUGAAGGGUUUAUGUAAUGAUAGGAGACUAAAUGAGGCCACUCACUUGUUAUAUUCUAUGUUUUGGAGGAUCUCUCAAAAGGGUAGUGGUGAAGAUAUUGUGAUUUAUAGGACUCUGUUAUUUGCAUUAUGUGAUCAAGGGAAGAUUCAAGAUGCAAUGCAGAUUCUUGAAAAGAUUUUAAGGAAGGGACUUAAGGCUCCUAAAAGUCGUCGUCACCGCAUUGAUCUUUGUCCAUGCAAUGAUGGCGAAGAUAUAGAAGGUGCUAAGAGUUUGAUUAAUGAAGCCCUCAUCAGAGGCGGGAUUCCCAGUUUGGCUAGUUAUAGUGCAAUGGCUGUUGAUUUGUAUAAUGAAGGUAGAAUUGUUGAGGGUGAUAAAGUGCUUGAUGAAAUGCGGACAAAGGGCUUUUGGCCAUCACUUGUAAUGUAUGAGGCAAAGUUAGCAGCUUUGUUUAAGGAUGGUAUGGUUGAUGAAGCACUCGAAGUGAUUGAAGAGGAGAUGGUGAAAGGAACUUUUGUGCCAACAGUUAGGGUGUAUAAUAUAUUGUUGAAAGGCCUAUGCGAUGCAGGGAAUUCAGCAGUUGCUGUUAUGUAUUUGAAGAAGAUGUCUAAGCAGGUUGGAUGUGUUGCUAAUGGGGAAACUUAUGGCAUUUUAGUGGAUGGGCUGUGUAGAGAUGGUAGAUUUCUUGAAGCAAGUAGGGUUUUGGAGGAGAUGUUGAUCAGAUCAUAUUGGCCUUGUGUUGAAACUUACAAUGUUCUCAUAAGGGGUCUUUGCUCAAUAGGCAAGCAGUAUGAAGCUGUGAUGUGGUUGGAGGAGAUGAUCAGCCAGGCUAAGCUGCCAGAUAUUUCUGUGUGGAGUUCUUUGGUGGCAUCUGUAUGUUGUAACACGGCUGACUUGAAUGUUUGCCGUAAGACUUUGGAGCAGCUAAGCAGCUGUUCAUAGCUCAUACUGGGGCAAUUGUUAUUAUUGUAGACAAAAUUCUUCUAACUUGUACUGAUGGUGAGACAAUCAGUUGCUCUUCCAAGGUUAGCAAGACUUGAGGCUUUUCUCCGGCAAACUUAGAAGCAGCAAAUUUGAGCCAUCAGCAAACCGAGUGAUGUUUCUGUUGACCAAAUGUUGAUCUCUUGAUGGAGAACGCCAGUUAUUGGGAGGGCUAUAUCAUAUUAUCGGGAAUCUUGUUGUAGCUCUGGAGGUUAAUCCUCGGUCUGUUUGGUGACUUUUAUAGAAAUAAGGUAGUAACUUUAUGCUGAUUAACAACAUUUGGAUUUUAGAGCAACAUGUCAUUUGUGGCAUAAUACAGUACUUCUGUUAUGCUGUGAGCAUAGCGAUUAUAGUGCCUUUCCUGUCUGUGCAAUGAACCAUGCUAUUGUAGAUGUCGGGAAACGGUGUGCUCUAGAUUUGCUGUGAAUUUUCAUCUACCAAAUAUCUAAUUUCCUCGUGGAUAUGGAAGUGGACUGGUGCAAUGGGUUAGUAAUUGGCAUUGACAUUAACAGUCAUGACCACAACAGAAAAUAACUAGAUACUUACAUAAUAAAAAGAAAAUACAAAUUUUUUAUUUUUAAAAAGAUAAGGAGAUGGAAAAAAUCUAAAUUCAUUUUUGAAUUACUAGCCUUCACUCAGAAUAGGAACUCCCAAAUAAAAUUACUUGAAAAACAGUUUCUUUUGGAUGCGGACAAUAUUUGAUACCGCAAGACUCCGAAAAUUAUUGAAAAUACGUCAAUUAUAAUCUACGAAAGAAUAAAAAGAUUGCCCACAUGAAGAGAAAAUUACAGGUGUGAGAGUAAAAGGUAAAAACGACCGUAAACAGGUCCUAAUUGGGAAAUGGGCCUGCAACUCUAAGCCCAACACUUGUCCAAUUUCACACGCCCUUUAAAACCCCUAACUGGCCGCAAUCGAAAACCCUAGCGAUACUUUGCAGCGGCGCAGCAGAGUGCACGGCGCAAUCCGCAGUAGGUCUGAUCUCUUGAGGUAUCAAGCUCUUCCUGCCUUUGCUUUGUCUCCCGUUUUAUUUCAGCGUUUUCAUUUCUAUGCGAAAGAAAAUUUAUCGUACUUUUAGAGUUAGUUUCAUUUUGAAAAGAAAAUAUUUUGCAAUUUUUUUCUUUUUUAUUUCUUCAUCGGUCUCAUUAAGUUGUCUGUAGUUGUAUAUGUUGAUUGCUAGUAAGUAUUUUCAUUUGAAUUGAUGCUUCUUAUUGUGUUGUAUUGUAGUCAAAGCAAUGUCGGCUUCGGAGCUUGCUUGUACUUAUGCCUGUUUGAUCCUCCACGAUGACGGCAUCGCCAUUACUGUAUCCUUGUCAUGAAAUUAAUAUGCUUAAUUGUAUUUUUUUUUUAAUUUGUCAACUUCAGGUUAUGUACAUGUCAAGGCGCAUGUAUUUUUUAAGUUUAUUUGGGUUUAUUUGCUCAUUUAGUGUGGUAGUCUUCUACACUCAAACUGGAGAAAUAGUGAAGAAGGAUGAAAGCUUAGAAAUUAUUGGAGCAAAACCAAAAGCAGUCUGGCCAAUUUCAUUGCUAUGAUAUUUUUAUAUCUUCUGUUAAAAGUUUAAAAUAGCACACCUGCUUCUGGAAAAUGGGUCUCUGGGUGUUUCCUUUGACUGUUGUUAAUAGACGGAUAAGAUUGCACAACUGGUGAAGGCUGCCAACGUGUCUAUUGAAUCUUACUGGCCUAGUUUGUUUGCUAAGCUCUUAGAGAAGCGGAACUUAGAUGAUCUUAUAAUGAAUGUGGGGUCUGGUGGUGGCGGUGGUGCAGUUGCUGUUGCAGCUCCUGCUGGAGGUGCUGGGGCUGAUGCUGCUGCUCCCCCACCGGAGGAGAAGAAGGUAAUUGAAAGGCCUUAGAAAUUAUUAGUUAAAAGAAAUCAUUAGCCUUUUUGAAUUUUAUGGUUUUUAUCUGAUACUUCUGUGCUUUUUGGGGUAAUUUUUUUGCAGGAAGAACCCAAGGAAGAAAGUGACGAAGAUAUGGGCUUCAGCUUGUUUGAUUAGGAGCUCCUUUCAGAAUGAUUUGGUCUGGUGCUGGUUUACAACUCUUAAGAUUAAUUGUCUUUUUGACCUAUUAGUAGUAUCUAUCUUUGUUUGUUAAGAUUUGAAGUAUAGGUAACCUUGAGUGAACAGAAAGUGUUAAGUAGUUGCUUUGGUUCUGCAUUGUGUGUUCGAGAUUCUGGAUGUAUACAAGUAUUGUGGAUCAAUUUUUAUUUUCUUUGUCAUUGAUUGCCAAUUUAAUUAGUUUUUAUGCACAGGAUUGAUUGAUUGUUUGUCCUGGUUAGAAUGCCAGGAUAUCGAUGUGCUUACUAUUACUCUUAGAUGGGACAUUCUUUUUAGUGUAUGCUCGUGUUCAUACAACCUCACCAUACUGGUAUUAACUGUUUGGGCCAUUGUCAUGGGGAAAACAGGUUUAUUAUUGGUAUUUUUUAAGUUGAAGUUAUUGGCUUUCAAACGUUCGACAUAUUACCAUGCGGGUUUUUUUUUUCUUCUGGGUGAAGUCUCAGCAGAAAGCCAGAAAGUGUUUUUUUUCUUCUGGGUGAAAUCUCAGCAGAAAGCCAGAAAGUGUUUUUAGCGUCAUGCUUCCUGAUGAAUUAGAGUCUCUGGAUGAAAUAAGGCUCUAUUUUUGGUAUUUGCAUUUUAAUUUGAGGCAUACCGUCAAAGUAGUUGUAUGUUGUAAGUUCAGAGGUAAUUUCGGAUUUAUGACAAUUUUUUAAAUAUUCUUUAAUAAUAAAGAUUGUUCAAAUUAUGGUAAGUCUCAAUUUUACCGUUCAGGAAAUAAAAAAUUUUAAGGGUAAAUUGAGGUUUAAAAUAACUUAAGAGGCUAUUUUGAAAAUUAUGAUUAUCAUUUUAUGAGAGAUAAGCUAAAAUUGGGUGAAUUUAUUUGAAUUCAUUAAACUACUCAACACAUCAUAUUUUUUAUUACACCUAUCAUUGAAUUUUAAUUUUGCAAAAUCAAGAUUUUACUUUAUACACUUUUGAAAAUUUUGACAUAACUUCUAUUUUCUCCUUUUUCUUUCCCACGCUCAGAAUUAUAAUGAUUGAUGGCAAAUUGUCACUAAGAAACCACUUCCCUCAAAUUAAAGUUUAAAGAAUAAGCCCAUAAACAUUUCUUAUUUCAUUCAAAAUUUGAUUUGCUUCGGCAUGUGAAAAUGAAUUCUUCCCAGUAAUCUAUGGCUCAAAAAAACCAGUCCACAGACAAAAGAUAUUUCUUCUUCAUCUGUAGAUUCAAUAUCCAAAACGUAAAAAGUGAUGAAAUAUAGACAAAAAGGCGAAUUAAUCAUGGAUUGAAUUUGCAAAUUAAUAGAGUACGAAUUGAAUAUGAUAAUUAAGUUUCUCAUUGAGUGAGUGUAUAGAGCAAUGUUAUUUUUUAAUUUUUUUGUCCUCUUAAUUAGUGUUAUUUAAGGAUAUUUAAAUAAUAAAAAAUUAAAUUAAAACAUGGGUUUAGAGAGUAUUUUGGUGGGUUGGAAUUUUUAUGAGAGGUAAUAGGAAAUUAAACUCUAAAGUCAAAAUGUAAAUUUACCCGAUAAAAUUUUAAAUUUUUAUUACUUUUGUUAAAAUUUUAAGGGUGGUGAUAUUUUCAUUUAUAAUUAUAGUAAGUUUACGUUAUUUUUAAAAACUAUAUAAAUAAAGGAGAAGUUUGGAAAUUUAAUCAAGUAAAAUUAAGUGCCUCAGGUAUAAGAGCUCAUAUUUUUUGGGCUAAUUUAGUCAUCGGAGGCUGUGGCAUUGGCGGUGGCGGUACUGUUGUUGUCGGAAUCAAUGUGCGGGGAGCUAUGCUCCAUAGCAAUUAGAUUUGGAUCGGACUGUGUGGAAUUGGCUUUUGAUUUUGAUUCAUUCGUGAUUGUAUUCUUGAGAAAGUGAUGGAAAUUAUUAUUAUUAUUAUUUAAAUUGGCUUUUUUAUUAUUGAGAUUUGAGAAGGGCUCGGGUUUGGGAGCUGAUUGAAGUCCCAAAUUGGACAAAAUAAUUACCUAUCAAUUCCAAGUAUUAAUUGCAAAAAUACGAAAUUGUAGGCUUCUUUGUACUGAAUUAUAUGCCGCCCAGGACAUAAUGGUAAUUGUGCAUUAAAUAUAUUUUUUUUACUUAAACAAAUGGAAUAUGUUAUAUUUCUUUUUACAAAUUCUUGUCUCUUUUUCUAAAUAGUGGGGGGUCUAACAAUUUCUUUUCCUUACAAAAAUAAGGGGAUGAAAAUAUCCCCACCUAAUUUAUAAUUAAAAAUCAAUGUCUUUCAAUUUUUUAUUUAUAGAACACCAAGGAAUAGUUAGGAGCUGUUUGGUGGCAUUUAAAAAUUCAUGGGAUUAGCACUGUUUUGUCAAAGUAAUUCUAAUCCCCUGUUUAGUGCUAAAGGUAAAUUUGGAAUAAAUUAUAACGGGUCUACCAUUAGGGGAACCUUUCGGAUUGCAUUUCUAAGGCUAAAAAAGUUAUCCUAAGUAUUCAUAGGAUAGUGAAUAAUUUAUUUUUUAAUCAAUAAAUUAUUUUAUUUAACAAAUAUUAAAAAUAUUGUAACGCAUAUUCAGAUUAAACUAUAAUAAUAUUUCUCAUAAUUUUUUUAUAAUAUUACUUUAAACUUAUAUAAACAUUAAAUAACAAUAUAAUUGUAAAUUUGCAUAUAUAAAUUUAUUAUUAAGUUAAUAUUUGAUAUACUUUGUCAAUUUAUCAAUUAAUUUAAUACAAAAUAUGGUGGGAUGACAGACGUGCCAAUGUACUCUUGACUGUUGAUGAUGUGAAAUAGUUUUAUAGAUAUAGACGGAUGACGUUAUUGUAUAAUAUAUUUUUGUAUUUAUGGAUUAAUUUUUUAUUAUAUUUGUUGAUGAUAUUAUUGCGUAAACUCUCAUUUAAAACUAUAAACUAGGAAAAAAAAUCAAGGGAAGGUUUUGUCAUUUUUUUUUCAAUGCUUAGAUUUACUGAUAAAUGGAAUUAAUUUAGAUUAUAUUUUAUAUUAUUUUUAUAAUUUUUUUAUUUUUUAGCCAUGUUCAACAUCUUAUGCAAAAUCUUAAUGCUUCAACUGCCUGUGCUUACCGUCCAAAACAAGCCGUAUGAAGUAUAGCCAAGUGGUAAGGCAUCAGUUUUCAGUGCCAGCAUGCAAAGGUUCUAAAAUAUAAAUUUAUGGGGAGCAAACUUAUUUUUUAGACUGUGGUGUAACAAUUAAUUUAAGAUAAUUUUGCUCAAAUUAAUAUAUAGAAUAUAUUAGUAACAUAAUUCUGAUUAAAUUAAUAUAUAGAUAAUUUUGAUUAAGUUAAUAUGCCAAAUAUAUCAGAUACUAUCCAAUCCGAUAAUAUACUAAAUAUAAUGCAUGAUUAUUUAUAGUCCAAAAUCUUAAAUUUCACCAAACACAAUAUAAUAUUAUAUCUAACCUUAUUUGACCGCAUCUUAUCUCAUUUUAUCUCACUCUAUCUUAUUUUAUUUUACGUGUCAAACAUGUCUAAAUAGAGAUGGCAUAAAUACCCGCCCAGUCCAGACCCGAACAGUACCCGGGCGUUGUGGGCCGGGUAUGAAGUCGGACCGGUAUUGGGCAUCACUUGAAAAACUCGGAGCUCGGCCCGGAACCUAGAUUUUAUUAAAACAAUAUUAUAAAAUAUAUAUUAUUUUAAAUAUUUACAUUUAUUUGACUCAUUUAUUGUACAUAUAUAAAGUUUUAAACACUUAAAGUUUAUAUUUUUAUGUCAAAUUUUAUUAAAAUAAAUUUAAAAUUUAUAAAAUUACUAAAAAAUAAAAAAUAUAUACACAUAUAAUAUUAAAAAAAAUAUAAAACCUAACCCGAACAUCUAAAAAUUACAUCUGGACCGGGUCCAAGUAUCACAAUGCCCGGACCUAGCCCGGGUUUUGCCAACCCUAUGCCUAAAUGUAUAUCUUUAGAGAUGUUACGUUCCAUUGUGUAAAGACCUGCAAGGUUGGCUUAAGACAUAACAAAAAAUUUAAAUAAAUAUUAUAAUAAAAAUUUAUUUUGAUUUAGGUGUAAAACUAAAAACUAAUGCUUACGUUUAAGGAUUAACCAAAAAAAGUGAACAAUUUUAUAAACAUAACUCUGAAAAAUGUGGAUCAGGAAUAAUUUAUUUUUCUCAAUUAUUUAUGAGAGUAUACUUUUAAGUUAGAGUUGGACUGAUUUCUAGACUAUAUUACAAGUUGUAUGGAUCUAAAUUCUAGUAGAUUUUAGAUUCUAAUAUGUUUGUAGAAUCCUCCGCGCAUACACGAGAGAAAAAGUGAAAAAAAAAAAAAAAAAACAUUGAUGUUAAGCGUUGAAUCUAUAAACUUGUUCAGUUGAACUUUUUCAUUUCAGGAGAGUGGCGACAGCCCUCAGAGCCCUUUUACAAAACUGUAAAACAGAACUUAAUAUUUCAUUAUACAAGGUAAACACUAAUGUCUCAACUCCAAACCAUUAUUGAAAAUAGCGCAUGCUGCAUAUACUGCCAACCUAUGUUAUUUCCUAAGUAAUAUCUUGGGUUGUGGAGAAUUACAGGAACAUGUUUGCGGUCCAAAAUAAAAGUGGAGAUUUUUGUAGCCUCGAUCAAGGAGUGGCCACAUUUUCCUUGGCAAGAGGAGCAAUUUCUUCGCCGUCAAUUCCAGGUUCACUACCAGCAACUUCCAGGUUAAGUAGGGUCUCCUCCCAUUUCUUAGCUGGUCCCUGUCCCAUUAAAAAACAUAUCAGCUCAGAUAUCUUUUGAACGAAUUGAAAAGACAGGUUUCAACUGAAGCCACUAAAUUAAAGAGUCUUCUUCUUGCACAGUUCCAAUACUCACUUUCCAUGAAAGAUCUUGAGCCAUGCCAUUUUUCAUCAUUUCAGCCAAAGCUUGAGUACCAUAGGUUGCAAGAGCUCUUCUGACGGUUGUGGACACUGCAGCCACAUCUACUGGAUCCACAGCCUCACACUGAAAGAAAUUGAUCAAUGAUAAAAACAGAAAUUACAGUUGAAUCAAGUGGUAUCCUUGGAAUUACUCUAGAAUUAUAGGAUGGAGAUGAGUAUAUUACGUCAACACUGAAGCUUCCCAUCUGGAAUCCUGUAAAGCCUUCUUCCACAGUGUCAACCAAACCACCAGUGGAAGCCACGAUAGGUACCUGCAAAGGGAUUACACUUGUGUAAAGCAAAUUUUUGGCCUUGAUUUCUAGCAUAUAGUAUUAGCAUGAGCCAGUAGGAGGAAGAGAAAAGAAAUUCCAGUAGAACAUCAUACGGUUCCAUAACGCAUGGCAUGUAAUUGAAUGAGACCACAAGGUUCAAAUCUGCUUGGAAUCAAAAUAAAAUCAGCUCCUGCUAUUAUCAUAUGCGCCAGAGGAAUAUUGAAUUUCGCUACUCCUCUGGCUUUCUCAGGGUACAGUAUCUCCAACUGUUCAAGCUGCUUCUCCAUUGGUUUUUUGCCAGUACCCUGAGAGAAUGUGACAGGAAAAAGGAAAAAAAAUAUCAUAAUAGAUACAGCUGUUCUCAUGUCAUAAUAAAAGUAUAUAGGGUAGAAUAAUUUCUAAUUGUAAUACUUACAAGGACUAUUAUCUGAACAUUCUCUUUGAUGAAAUGGGGAAUGGCAGCUGCAAGAAUAUCUGAGCCUUUCUGCUCUUCAAGUCUACCAAUGAAGCCUAUGACAGGAAUAUUUCUAUCGACAGGCAACCCAACUUCUGCUUGGAGGGCUUCCUUCAGAAGAGGCUUCGCAUCCAUCACCUGAGAAUACAAAUUUGUGUGACAUCUUGAUACAACAAGCCAAGAUUUUAGAAUGCUAGUUAUGAUAAGAGGUUCAUUCUCAUAAAGAAUCUUACAGUUGAAGCAUCAUAUUUGACACCUAUAUAUUUGUCAGUCAAGGGGUUCCACUCCUGGACAUCCAUCCCGUUCACAAUUCCCUUAAUGCCAGUUUUACGGAUGAUAUUAUCCAAUUCUACUCCUUUGUCUUCACCAGAAACAAGUUCUUGGGCAUAGUGUGGGCUCACAGUUAAGACCAUGUCUGAUUCUAAUAUUCCAGCUUUCAUCCAGUUGAUUUUUCUUCCUCUCACAGGUUUAUUGUAUCUGCAGGAUAGGAUUAGUUAGAGGAUAGUUUUGACCAUGAAGAACUCUAACACUAAUCCAAUGGAACCAUACCCAUCAAUAAAGUCAAAAGAGCUUUUGAAUUGAGCUGGAAGGUUGAGAAGUCCAAAAUCCUCAAAUGCAAAUCUUCCUUGGUAAGCAAUAUUGUGGAUACAAAAAACAACCUGAAAAGAAUAAUAAGCACAAUAAGGGUUCUCAAUUACCUAUGCACAGGCCAGGGGUUUUUUGAAAUACUUCUCAUAAGCACUUACUUUGGCACUUUUGUACAUCCCUUUGGGCUUAUACAUAGUUUUCAGGUAACAAGGGAUAAGGGAAGUAUGCCAGUCAUUAGCAACAAAAACGACAUCUUCACCUACAUACAAGGAGAUUAAAGUAGCAACUCAUAUUUAUUUACUCAUAUUUAUUUUGUUUAGUAGAACCCUCGGAUGUAAGAAUCACAUAACUCUUCUUACCAUAUGGUCCAGAGAAAUAUUUGUUGCUGUUAAGAUUCAGAAUUCUCGGUGCUUCAAGAGCUGCCUGUAAGAAUUAAAACUGUAAAAUUUGAGGACAAUAACCACAAUGGUUCAAGGAGUCUCAGACACUUCGUCUUUUAUAUUGAGACUUUUGGACCCCUUAGAUCUUUAUAAAAUUCUUUUGCAAAAUGUGCAAGAUUAGAGAGUGUUUACAACCACUGACCUGGCACAACAAGCUGAAGCGAAGUUGGUUGUCCUGGUAGUCCUCUCCAGUCCUAGGCCCAUAGAUUUUGGAUUGGGUUUUACCCCACACCUUGAAAGUUUAGUCACAACAAAUGCAACUUCAGAGACACCCUUCACAAUUCAAACAUAUCAAAACAUUUGACCAUAAGACAGUAAGAGAAAUGAUUCACAAAGACUACCUUCGCAAGAAACCAAGGAUGAUCCACAAACACCCGAUCAACUCCUCUCUUGUGGCAAUGAAAGAAGCGAACUUUUUCAAUUUUGUCUCCAACUUUCAGCUACAAUCAAAAUUUCAAUCACAAAUCUAUAUCUUUAGUCUUAUAUCAACAUGAAAUAAAGAAAAUAUUAAAGGACUAAAGAAAAAAAGGAAAAAAAAUCUAAAUAGAAUUGAUAUACCUCAAUUACAACAUCAGUAUCCCAAGCAUCUUUGUACUGGUCAUAUCGGGGUGCAAUCGUCAUGACACGGUGCCCAUUGGCCUGAAUAAAGGAAUCAAGUUUAGUCGAUGAUGCAUUCGACAUCCAACAUAUCCCAAUCAAUCUACGAUGAUUUAAUCAAUUUGAUCUGUCUGCCAAAAACAACGAUGAAGAGAAAAGAAAAAAGUAAGCUUACGGCCAGUGCUGGUGGCAGACCUCCAAGAACAUCACCAAGUCCCCCAGUUUUACUCCAAGGAGCAACCUCUGUUCCAACAAAGAGGAUAUUCAGGCCAACCCCACAAACAAUCAUUAAGGAUGGCCCGUUCUGGCUUCUAAAUCCAUUCCUCCCAGCUUGCCUGCUGGUGGCUAGUUUCGAUGCCAUUGUUUUCACUUGGAGAUCGUCUAUGAUAUUUAAACUUCUCAGCCCACUGUGCUUCAUACACCUAAAUUUCAUCUGUGAUGCCUUACUAUUCAAUCCUGAAGCUACCUCAUGUCCAUAACUCCUUGAGACGAAGCUUGAAGCGGCUACAGCGGUAGCCAUAGCUGAUAUUAUUAUGUUUGUAGUCUCUGGAAAGUGAAAAAUCAGCAGAAAAUUAAUCGAUCGAUACAAAAAAAUGUUACAACAGCACACUACGCACUACACUACUAGACGUAUUAAAAUUUCACCUGCUGAAGAUUUGUUUCCCUCUUAGUUUCCUGAUGAAAUCUGGUGCUCAGGCGUCUAUGAAUGAACGUGAAGUGAACAUCAGCUGACUUCGCUCUUUGCUCUUUUGUAGAGUUGUUGCCGUGCCGUGCCUUGCACAUGGGAAAUCACUUACUAGAGAUUCGUGGUUAAUACGAACCGCAGGAUUUUCUCGCGGUUUACAACUUCACUUCAAGUUGCGAGAGAUGUUAAGACAGUUGGAUGAAAGAAGGCAUAUACGAACAAAACAAGAGAGUCCAACUGGGAAGUGGGAAUAUACGGAUUCAUGAUUUUUUGUCCAUUAGUUUGGGUCCGACACUCGAGACGAGAGACCACCAACCACCGUCGAAUUCUAUUUGUUCAGUUGAAAAACAAAUAUCAAACGAAAAUACUCAUUCGAGUACUAAGCAUAUCGCCCAGCCAUCUUUGCUUUGUGUUCUCACGCGAGUUUUUCACGAGAUAAAUAACCGAAAACUUUUGGAUUUAAACUUUUUGGCUAAAAAGACUUUGCGUGAUAUCUCAUAUCUGAUAUGUUGGCUUGGUUGGGUCUUGGGAUAUAAAAAUAGAGAUGACAAUGGGACAGAUAUGAGUUGGAUCUAUUCUGUUUUAAAUUUAGAUUCAUAAUAAAAAUUAAGAUCUGUAUCUGCUCCAGAUCUCUCAUGAAUCUAUAUUUUUCACUUUAUAUUCAUAUCCAAAAAAGAAAUAAAUAUUUAUAUCUGUUUCAAAUCUAAAAAAAAAAUUAAAAUCUAAAUAUGCUCUAGAUCCGUCAUGAAUUCUAAAACUCAACAAUAAAAAAAUAAUAAUUUUUUAGAAUGAAAAUUGAAGGCCAAAAUGCAUUGAUAACAAAUAAAUUAUAUAAUUUUUCUCAAAAAUAUAAUAAAUAUUAUAACUUAUACUUUUACACCAAAACAACAAAUAAGAAAGAUAAUAAAAUAUUCUUCAAAAGUAAUUGCAGGUGUAAGAUCAAUCUAAUAUUUUAUUGUCUCCUUCAUCAUUCUAAUAUCUACGACACAUCCACCAUCAUUCCUACAACAUUCGAUAAUAACGUAUAAAUUAAAUGUGAUUUAUAUUCAAUGCUUUAUUAUUUUUAUUAUGACCAUAUUUGACUAAAUAUAUGAAUAACUAUAUUCCUUUAAAAUUAUUUGGCUAAUAUAGUAAAAUAAAUUGCUAGGUUAUAUUACUUGACUUGUAAUUUGAAUAUUGCAUGUACAUAUUUUGGGACUGGCUGACCUUUAAAUUUAUAAAACUAACAUUUAAGUAUUAAGAGUUUAAAUACAUGGUAAAUACCACUAAUAUGCUAUGAAUAAAAUUUAUUAUCAUUAUAAUUCCAUAAUUGUUAAGAAACUUUUAAAAUAAAAUAAAAUUAAAAGAUGGGUGGAUAUUGAUAUGAAUUUAAAUAUUAAGAUGGAUCUAAAUUUACUUUAAAUCCAUUUUAGAUCCGCACAUUAAUAUUUAAAUUUGAUCCAAAUUCAUUUUAAACUAACCUAAAUUUGAUCCGAUUAGAUUUAUAUAACGUGAAUCCUGAGUAAGAUCCAAUCCAUUGUUAUUCCUAUAUAAAAAGCAUGUAUUAUUUCGUGAGAUAAUGAGUGCUUUUCUCCUUUAAAAUUUUUGGGGUUUUUUUUAUUUGAAUUUUGACGGGGUAAAAUUGUAAAUACGGCAGAAACGAGUCCUCUGGCUACUGGUUAUCAUCAAUUCUAGCUACGAGCCUAGGAAUCUGGGAAGACUGUGAUUGAUUGAAUCUGUAACGACGCAUAAUCAAAUUUAAAAAAAUACAAUAAAAUAAAAUAAAUAAUACUACAAUCUUGUCAGUUCCAAAUCUCGCUUUCCUUUUCAGCGCAAGAAUUCAGGAGAAGAAGACAAAAAUGCAUGUUUUUUCAAUUUUCAUUGAAUGAGCAAUGGACGGAUGUAAAUGAAAUGAAAAAGUAAUGCUAUUGCACAUCCACCAUCAUUCCUACAACAUUCGAUAAUAACGUAUAAAUUAAAUGUGAUUUAUAUUCAAUGCUUUAUUAUUUUUAUUAUGACCAUAUUUGACUAAAUAUAUGAAUAACUAUAUUCCUUUAAAAUUAUUUGGCUAAUAUAGUAAAAUAAAUUGCUAGGUUAUAUUACUUGACUUGUAAUUUGAAUAUUGCAUGUACAUAUUUUGGGACUGGCUGACCUUUAAAUUUAUAAAACUAACAUUUAAGUAUUAAGAGUUUAAAUACAUGGUAAAUACCACUAAUAUGCUAUGAAUAAAAUUUAUUAUCAUUAUAAUUCCAUAAUUGUUAAGAAACUUUUAAAAUAAAAUAAAAUUAAAAGAUGGGUGGAUAUUGAUAUGAAUUUAAAUAUUAAGAUGGAUCUAAAUUUACUUUAAAUCCAUUUUAGAUCCGCACAUUAAUAUUUAAAUUUGAUCCAAAUUCAUUUUAAACUAACCUAAAUUUGAUCCGAUUAGAUUUAUAUAACGUGAAUCCUGAGUAAGAUCCAAUCCAUUGUUAUUCCUAUAUAAAAAGCAUGUAUUAUUUCGUGAGAUAAUGAGUGCUUUUCUCCUUUAAAAUUUUUGGGGUUUUUUUUAUUUGAAUUUUGACGGGGUAAAAUUGUAAAUACGGCAGAAACGAGUCCUCUGGCUACUGGUUAUCAUCAAUUCUAGCUACGAGCCUAGGAAUCUGGGAAGACUGUGAUUGAUUGAAUCUGUAACGACGCAUAAUCAAAUUUAAAAAAAUACAAUAAAAUAAAAUAAAUAAUACUACAAUCUUGUCAGUUCCAAAUCUCGCUUUCCUUUUCAGCGCAAGAAUUCAGGAGAAGAAGACAAAAAUGCAUGUUUUUUCAAUUUUCAUUGAAUGAGCAAUGGACGGAUGUAAAUGAAAUGAAAAAGUAAUGCUAUUGCUUAGACAUUUCAUAGUACUGCCAGUUGUCCACCAUUUUUUGAGAAUUGAUUGACUCAUGAUCAAAGUGAAAAUGUCCUUUUAUAUAUUUAUAUAUAGGUGGUGGUAUGCAUCAGUUGGAAUUUAAUAAUUAAAUAGAUAUUUUCUAUUUUAUGCACAGGGCUUGUCAUAAUUUUAUUAUUGAAUUUUACAACAAAAAAAUCUCUAUUGAUUAGGAAAUCCAUUACUCAUAAAUCAGUUUAAGAAGUCAUUCAUUAGUGAUGUAAGAUAUUACAUAUUUUUCCUUUGAGAAUUGGGUCUUCGUGAAGGUCAUUGGAAAUAUAAAAGAACAAAAUCGUAUAAUUAAUAUAUUUAUCCAUAUAUCAAGUCUCCAAUCUGGUCUUAUACUAAUUGUAACAGCUCAACUCCACAACCAAGUAGAUAUGAUCCACUUUCAAUCGGUUCUUAUUAUAAUUUUGUUAUUGGGCUUUACAACUUAAAAUGUUUCUACUUAAUUAGGAGAGUCCACGACUUACAAAAUAGUCUUAGAAUUCAUUCGUUAGCGACGUGAGAUAUUACAUGGUAAUUGUUUAUCGAUAUUAUUGGGUGUGGAUUGAAAUUUUUCCUAAUGAAAAACUAAAAUCUUAUAUUUUCAGAAUUAAAGUUUCGGUUGCUUUUAUAAUUGAAUUGAACUGAAGUAUGAUAGCAACGACCGGGAAUUUUGUACAAAAGAUGCUAAAAUCCGUGCUCAUACUCGUUUGGAGGAGAAUAUUCAAUACCUGUUGUGAUUUGUGAGCUUAAACGGGUACAAAUUGAGGAUUCUCAAUAAAAAUUAAAGAUACCCCUCAUCUCUCUUAUCUCUUAUGUCCGUUUUAUUUUUUAACAUAUGAUAUAUUUAAAAAGGAAAAGUAAUACUUUAACUAUUUAGUUAUAGAUAAACAUGCAACACUUUAUGGUAAAAUAUUUUUAAAAAAUAAUUUUAAGUUUAGGUAAAUAUUAGUUAUAAUUUAAUGAAUGUUCACUUUUAAUCAAUAUAUUACUAAAUAUUUGGAUGGAAAAUAGAAUCCCGGAAAAUUUCACUUUGUCAUUUUCUUGUCAAUACUUCAUUCUUUUCAGUUUGACCCUGAUUUGAACAUUAUUUAAUUAUCAUUUGUUUUUAAUUAGGAUAAUAUUUUAGAUGAUUUAGUAAAUGUCUAGUUCAUUAAGCGACUAAAGUCUCCAAGUAAAUGUCUUGGACAAUAUCAUAUUAGAUAUUGAUUCCUAUUGCCAAAUUGCUAAAUGCUAAUGUUUGUGUUUUAGGGCUUUAAAUUUUUACUUUAAUAUUUAUUUGAUUUAGCUAUUAAUUUAACUUUCAGAACAUUAAAAAGUAAAGAGUCAAUAGUCAAAACGGGUUUAAUGCGCGGGUCUGGAUAUUAGUGUUUUAUAUCGACUUGCUCAAUUAGUGGAUAUAAAAAGUUAUACUCGAUUUUUUUUAAUAAAACAUAAUAAAAUUAGACCUGGUACCCAACCCUAAUGUAACGGACCCCUUGCAGGUGCAGUACUCGCGGGGAAUUUUGCCGUUGCUAAUCCUAAGCCAUGUCCAACAAACCUCUAACUAAGAAAUAAUGGUGUUUGGCUUUACAAUUUAACCGAAUGAUUUGUAAUUUUUUUUUAUUAUCCAAAUUUGAAUUUUGAGAUAAUUAAGUUUAAAAAAAAACUCCAUUCACCUCCAUAUCUUAAAAAAAAAUAAAAUUCGAUGUUUAAAAUAUAAAAGAAUUUAACUAUUUCUUAAAGCAAAUUAACAACAAUAGAAUUCUAUAUUUUUUUAAAAUUUCAUAAGUCUCAACACAUAUAUUAAUAGUUGUAAAAUUCUAUUUAUGUAUAACGUUCGUUAUUGUAUCAAUCUUAAGAACAUUAAUGUAGGACGAUUGUAUAACGUUUUAGAGUUUUAUUGUUUUAGGUCUUUCAAUUAUUUUCAAUUUCAAUUAGUUUUUUAUUAGAUAUGAGGUUAGAUCUUUUAAAUAAGUAUUAGUUGGGGUUUAGUUUCCCUAUUUGAGUUAACAUGGGGAAAUAAGUUUACUCUAUUAUAUAUAAAGAGAUCUUCUCAAUGUUUCCAUAAACUAUUUUAAUUAAUAAGAAUCCCUUAUAUUGUGGAAUUUUUUUUUUAAACCUUUGACCUUAUGCUAUAGAGCAUUAUGGUAAAAAUCUCAUAUUAUUGAGUCAAUUGGGUUAGAAUGAUAUAUAGUCUCAUUUCUAUCAAAGCAUCAUCUAAUCGUAUUUGUCUUAAGGCCCGUAUAGAAUUACUUUAGAGAUGUUCAAAAGUGAUUUUGAAAAACUAAAAAUGAACUUUAGUAUUAGUUAAUUUAAAAAAAAUUUGGCAAAAUCAUUGUAUCUUACAACUGAUUUUAAAAAGUAGAGAAGGAGUAUGGGUAAGUUACAAAACAAAUAAACGAAUCGUAAAUAUAUUCAUUUAAUAUAUUUACUGUACAAAGUUAAACGAAUCAAAUAGAAUUUGGAUUUAUUUAUAGUUUGUUUAAUUUGUUUAUGCAACACUAAUAACAAAUCAAUCGAAUUUGGAUUUGUUUAAAAAAAUAGUAAUUUACAAACAAAAAUAAAUGCAAGAUGAAAUAGAAAACCCACAAAAUUGACAUCAUAUAAAAUACAAACGAAUAAACAAAUCCAAUUCAUCAAUUUUAAUUUGUUUAUUUAACAAAUUGAAUCAAAUUCAUCAAUUUAUUAAACAAAUCAAUUUUUUCAAACAAGAACUCAUUUAAUUGGAAUUGAAUCGAAUAGACAAAUCUUCAUCUAAAUUACCACCCAUAAGAAAGAAUGGCUUUUCAAAAUCUAAUUUUAAAAAUCAAUUUUAUACUUAAUAGAAUUCCAUAUAUAUCCUCACAUUUGUUAUAAUAAUUCAAAAUUAUCCAAAUUCAAUUCGAAAAUAAAAUUAUUAAGUUAAGAGAGAAUAUUAUUAUUACUAAUUAUAUUGAAAUAAUGAAAUAAAAAAAUAUUUUAAGUUUUCAGUUAUUAAUAUAUACAGUAAAAAAUUUACGUAUAUACAUGUUUAUAAAUAUGUGAAAAGUUUUUUAUUCAAUAUAAUGUCCAUUUUAGUCGUUUGUACUCUUAUGAUAAUUUAAUAAUAAUAUUUAAGAAAUACACGCGACUACUUUUAAAACUCACAUCACUUUUUUUUAAAAAAAAUUACUAAAAAUUUAAAUAAUUCUCUUCAUACUUGAUUAUUUAUUCAGCACAACUAACAAUAAUUAUUUACAAAUUAUAACGUUACAAAACUAACCUUAAGAUAUUCCUAUUAUAAUAUCUUUUCCUAUCAAUCGACUUCCGCUAUCCCACUAUAACCAAUGAUUCUUGUUAUGAAUAUAUUCCAUAAUAGACUUGAUUUCGUAUUGCAUAUGCAGCUGAUAAUAAACUCGAUUCUCGUUAGUUAUUACACAUGCACAUCCCAUAAUAACUUUAAUUCUUGUUACCGUGUCCGUCAUCACUCGUAAUCGCCUUAUGAUUUUCAUGAAAUGUCUUUCGGGCAGCAUAUGUAUUAUAAUUUUAGCUUGUAUUCAGCAGUUUCAUACUUUUAAAAAAAUGUUUUUGGGCAAGUCUAUAUAUGAACCUAUAAUUUUACUCAUUAAACCAUAAAUUCAUUAAAAAAAUUUAUUACAGCAUUCUCCCUGACCAAAAUUACUCUUAAGGACAAUAAUUAACUAUUCUGAACAAAACAACUUCAAGACAAAUACGAUGCAUGUCUAAUUCUCUAUAUACUGCUUUAAAGUCCAAACCCGUUGUCAUGAAAUUCAUUGUUUAAUUUAGGUGAAAUUACAGUUGUUUACUCUUCACGAUCCAAAACUCUUUUUUUUUUUUUUUAAUUACUAACUAGAAAACUCACCACUUCAAACAAUUGCUUUUAAAUCUAAUGUUACAUUGGAUAAGGACAAAAAUUAUGGUAUGAAACCUCGGCUGUAAUAUAGGCGAAUCCCUUCAAAGAUAGUUUGUUUUCUGAUUUUGUUGGAACUUUUUUUAAAAUACAAGAAUUUUUCUUUUGCUUUUCUUUUAUUUUUUCAAGUAAAAACAAGUUUAUCAAGUUUCGAUUAAAUAUGAACUAUUGGAAAUUCUUGAUCUUUUAUUUACAUGAAUUGUCGGUGAAGGCUUUUCCCAAACCAAGAACAUUGUAUAGAAAACUAACAAACUUUAUGAUUUUUUUUUUAAAUUUCUAUAUUUUUUAUAUUGAAACUUGAAUGAGUGAAUAAAAACAAUGGUAAAAAUAUUGUAAAUUUCAGGAAAAAAAAUUAUGAAUGCUGUAGAAAAAUAAAAGGUGAAGACAAUUGUGUCAUUAGGGUUGUAUUUGGAAUAUUCAGAGAUGUUGGGAGUAAAAAAAUUAGUUUUGAAUCUUUAUAAUGGAUUUAAAGAAUGUAGGAGUUUAAACAGUAGUUUUAUGGGUUUAGAUAACCCUCACUCAAUAUUUUAAUGUAUUAAUGGAUGAAUUUUAGGUUACUCUUAAUAAAUUGAUUAAUUUUUAAAUUAUUUCUUUAAAAAAUUUGAAAUUUAAAAAAUGAAGAAUAAUGUGAAAAUAAUUAAUUUACGAAAAAGGUGAACCGAAAUAAAUUAUUCGUUUAUAGACGGACUUUGGGUAUCACCAAUUCACGGUUCAAACCGCCUGUCUACGCCGGCUAGGCGGCUACAUUGGCUUGGUUAAGUGCGUCAUCUGCAGCUGAUUGAAUGAAAUCCAGCAGGUGAAAUCAAGACCAGAGCAAUCUCUUCGCCCAUCCUCUUAGAUUCAGAUUCAAGCAAGCAAAACAAACUCUCAUUUUAUGUAUAACUAUAUAAGCAAGCAAGCGAUCGAACGUAUGUUUCUGAACUAACGAAACAAUACUAGACCAAAGAUAACUUAUGAUAUGAAACAAAUAAAUAAUGACCAAAGAGCUCCAGGACACAAAGUCACUAAUGGAACUCGAUGUUGACUCGUUCCUUAACUCACAUCUCUCCUCCGAUUCUGAUGACGAGUUCAACUCAGUCCCCCAUCGUACCCUUGACGAAAUCCUCAACGACUCCGAGUCCUCUACGUCGCCUUCAUCGCCAACAUCGUCAAUUCACCACUCAGAUACCUCCCUUGCCAAACCACAGCCCCAAGGUGACGGCGUUUCAUCUCAAGAUAAACCCACUCCAAAACCUGGUUCAUUUCAUCGGGUCAAAAGUAACGAAUUAUCGGGCGAUCCCAUAUGGAGGGUUCCUCCGUCAUCUUCGAGACAAUUGCCGUCGCUGUUUGGUGGAGUGAGAUCGACUGCCAAGCCUGGGGCGGCACUCGCUGCUGCUGCUGCGGCGUCGAGGUCGGUCCCGACUCCCCAUGCGGCGGCGAUAAAGUCGCGGAGGGCGGGGAGUGGAACGCUUCUGAAAGUUCUCGACGGUGAUGAUCACGAGAUUGCUUCCGUUUCCUCGAAUGAAAUUAGCGUGUCGAGCGAGAAAUUGGAGGGAGAUGCGGAGCUAAUAGGUGAUUUUCAGUCUGCUCAAGUGAAUGUUAGUGGUGAAUUGUCGAGUUUGGCUAGUAGUAGAGAUGUAGAUACUAAAUUAGAAUCCGAGGUUAGUAAUGUUGAUGAUGAAUUUUUAAAUACUAGUUCUAAUUUGAAUACUGACCAACUAAUUGGUUGCUCUCCGCGAGUUGUUGUGAAGGAUCUGAAUUUGAGAGAAAAAUCUAUAAUUGCUAGUUCAGAUGACGCUAAUGAUAUUGAUGGAAAUAGAAUUGUUGCCCCUGUUACAGCUGAUGAUGAUUCCAUGUUCUUGGAAGUGAAUGCUUCUACCGAGAGUAGUGUUGUUCCUCUAAAUGAAUCUGACCGGACUGGACUAAUGGAGGAAAAUUUGGAAAUUCCUACAUUGGAGAUGGAGAGUUCGGACAAGAGUAUGUCCACCUCUCAAGAUGAUGAGGUUGGAGUAGAUGGUAGUAAUGAUGCCAGUUCGAUAGAUGACAUUUCAGAGCUUGUGGAGGAGAGAAUUGGGCAAUUGGAGAGUGAGAUUACUAGUAGAAGAGCUGAAAAAAAAGUGCAGCCCUCCUUGAAGCCUCUUGAAUUGGCUGAGGAACUUGAGAAAAAGCAGGCAUCAACUGGCUUGCAUUGGAAGGAGGGCGCGGCUGCCCAGCCCAUGAGGCUUGAGGGUGUUCGAAGAGGUUCAACUACAUUGGGAUAUUUUGAUGUUGAUGCUAAUAACACUAUUACACAGACUAUUGCAUCCCAGGCAUUUAGGCGUGAUCAUGGUUCCCCACAAGUCUUGGCGGUGCAUCCUAGUUUUAUAGCUGUUGGAAUGUCCAAAGGUGCCAUUGUUGUUGUGCCCGGUAAAUACUCUGCUCAUCAUCGUGACAGCAUGGAUUCAAAGGUUUGUUUUAGUUCACUUCCGCUGCUUUCUUGUUUGUGUUGAUGGUUCCUUUUGAAAUGAAAUGUCUGUUUGUGUUGAUGGAUUCAAAGAUUUUAAUCUAUUCCUCGCAAAUGAGAAAUUACGGUGAAGAAUCUUGAAUAUGAAUUUACAAAACUUUAUACAUACAACGUGCUUAAAGCCUUGUUGCCAUAGUGAGGAUUAAUCCCUGUGUAUCUGAUUCACAUCUAGCCAUUUACUAUUAAGCGAUGUUAUAAAAUGUAUGAUUAAAACGGGUAAGAAAACUUGUAAUAACCACUAAAAAAGAAUGCGAAUUUGGACUGGUAAAUUAGGUGGGAUCAAAAUGUUAUUUUUCUAUCGCCUUUAUUGAGAAUUUUUUCUAUUACCGGCUGAAACAUUUCUAAAAGAAUAAUUCUCUACUCUUGACGUGUAGAUAAAGCUGGACUAUUCUGUUUUACAUUAUUUGUAUUACAUAAACUAGAGUAGUAUUUGCAGAAGCAUGAAUAAAAAUAUAAUGAUUUCUUUAUUAUUUGAAAUCAGUAUCGGCAGCCAGUUCACCUGUAUGUUUGAAGAAUUAAGAUAGACUUCAUGGUGUUAUGAAAUUUUUAGUUUUUAAUUUUUCUUGGUUAUGCGCUAACUAUAGUGCUUAUUUGAAAGUCUACAAGCUGCCAUUCCAUGUCAAAGAGAAAAUAGCUACUAUCUGCUUAUGAAUUUGCUCGAUGCGUAAAUUGUUUGAUACUGCUGCAUGAAAACAUCAUACCGCAUCUUGAAGUGAAGCAACUUUGACCUGAUACACAUGGAAAAAUACUAGUGGUACUACAUACUGAAUCUAUGUAAUUUUUUUAAUUUUAAUUUUUAUGUAUGUUUUGGAAAAGAUUUAAGCUAAGAAUGAGAAUUUAGUGAUUAUUUUCCCUAUGUUGUUUUCAAACAUGCCUGUGUUGAUUACACAUCAAUGGGAGCACUGUUUCAAUCCUAGGCAUGCUCUUCAGGACUUUUGCCUAGCAUAGAGGCUGGUGGUCACCAAAAUCCAACUUAUUUUGGUUAAUAAUUUUUACAACUUUAACAUUGUAGAAUAAUCUCCCAAUUGUUACGAAUAUUUAAUUAUAUAGUAAACUUAAACAAUUAUAGAAGUUUCAGUUUGGAGAACCCAUAAUUGGCAUGUCAAGAUGUUCAGCAGUCCUAACCUGCUACAUACAUACAUAUAUAUAUAUUUCAGAUGAUGAUGCUUGGUUUGCUAGGGGAUCGAUCUCCUGCCCCAGUAACUGCCAUGUGCUUCAAUCAGCCAGGAGAUCUGCUCUUAGCUGGUUAUGCUGAUGGUCAUGUUACAGUUUGGGAUGUGCAGAGGGCAUCUGCAGCGAAAGUUAUUACUGGAGAGCACACCUCACCAGUUGUACAUACAUUAUUCCUAGGGCAGGAUUCUCAAGUUACUCGUCAGUUUAAAGCAGUUACUGGUGAUACUAAAGGUCUUGUUCAGUUACAUUCUUUAUCUGUGGUUCCCUUGCUGAAUAGGUUCUCUAUCAAGACACAGGUAAGACACUUGACUGUUUAGCCUUUAGAAAGGGAAAUUUUUAUUUAGCAUUAUAUAUUUGUCUUCAGUCACAGUUUGGACAAUGACAGUCAAUGGAUAUCCUCCUCAAGUUAAUAACUUAAAGUUUAUCAUGAAAUUUAGUGUCUCCUUGAUGGACAAAAAACGGGCAUUGUACUAUCAGCUUCACCUCUUCUUUUCGAUGAAUCUUGUGGAGGUGCUCCGCUAUCCUCUCAAGGAAAUUCCACUGCUUCAGCCAGUAGUAUUGGUAGCAUGAUGGGAGGGGUAGUUGGGUCAGAUACAGGUUGGAAACUGUUCAAUGAAGGGUCUUCUUUGGUUGAAGAAGGUGUGGUCAUAUUCGUCACCUAUCAAACUGCACUGGUGGUAUGAAGUCCUCAAAUGAUUGCACGGAUUCCAGUAUUUGUUGCAUUGAGUUUGAUGCUUUCUUCUUUUUGGACAUUUCUUAUUUAAAAUCUGUUGAAGGUUCUUUUUUUAAUUGCAGGUAAGACUUACUCCCACAUUAGAAGUCUAUGCACAAAUUCCUAGGCCCGAUGGGGUCCGAGAGGGUGCUAUGCCUUACACUGCUUGGAAAUGCAUGACAACAUGUCGAAGUUCUACAACAGGUAUGAAUUUUCUGGGUUUGUUAAAAUUCAUGUUGACAACUUUCUAAUGCUGAAUAUCUUGCAGAAAGUAUUCCCACUGAAGCAGCAGAGAGAGUUUCAUUGCUUGCAAUUGCUUGGGAUCGGAAAGUUCAGGUUGCAAAGUUGGUCAAAUCAGAGCUUAAAGUAUAUGGGAAGUGGUCCCUUGACAGUGCAGCCAUUGGUGUGGCCUGGUUGGAUGAUCAGGUAGCCUUAUUUGUUUGGUUUUUUGUCUUAUCUCAAAUGCAAUUAAAUUACUUUGGUUUCUAAUGGUCAAUGACUCUUCCUUCACUUUCCAAUUUAUGUUUACAGCAUUCCUCUUGUCGAUAUUAAAAUAUUUGUAUGGCUGACUUUUUCCAGAUGCUGGUGGUUCUUACACUGUUGGGACAGCUAUAUUUGUACGCAAGAGAUGGAACUGUAAUUCAUCAAACUAGUUUUGCAGUUGAUGGAUCUCAAGGAUAUGAUCUUGUUGGAUAUCAUAGCUACUUUACUAAUGUUUUUGGGAACCCUGAGAAAUCCUAUCAUGAUUGCAUAAGCGUAAGAGGAGCUUCCAUAUAUGUACUCGGACCUAUGCAUCUUGUUGUUUCCCGACUUCUUCCUUGGAAGGAACGAAUUCAGGUUCUGCGGAAAGCAGGUGACUGGAUGGGUGCCUUGAACAUGGCUAUGACACUUUAUGAUGGACAAGCUCAUGGUGUUAUCGACCUUCCCAGAACCCUAGAUGCUGUUCAGGAGGCCAUAAUGCCUUAUCUGGUUGAGUUGCUACUAUCAUAUGUAGAUGAAGUAUUUUCAUAUAUUUCAGUGGCAUUUUGCAACCAAAUUGAGAAACUGGCACAACUUAACAAUCCACAAAGUAGAAGCAGUACUGUUCACGCUGAAAUUAAAGAGCAGUUCACCCGUGUUGGUGGUGUAGCUGUUGAAUUCUGUGUCCAUAUCAAUAGGACUGACAUACUUUUCGAUGACAUUUUCUCCAAAUUUGAGGCUGUUCAACAUAGAGGUACUCAUGGCGUCAAUUUCCACUUGGUCUUAAUGCUUGUGUUGAACUAUAUUUUGAGUGUGAUAUUGAAAUUUAGACCUUUGUUGAUACGUUCAAAUGGAAAAUGAGAAUCCAUAUUGUGUGAGUCAGUCAUGAUGAAGAGUGAUAAUAUCUGUCGCAAAAGAAUAUCAUGGUUGAAAGCAAAAAAGGCUUGAACGUUAGGUUACUAUUGUGUUAAAAUGUAGAUGGAAUUUAAUUUGCAUUAAACUUCAUGCAAAAUUAAACUUUGAAGUGGGUUUCCUUUUCCAUAUGGUAUCCUGAGGAAGCAACUUUUCUGAUUACAUAGUUGCCUAAGACAAAUUUUGCUGACUGCGGCAUCAAAUGAAAUUUUUUCAAUGACUUGGGUUACUGUUUGCUAGACACAUUUCUGGAGCUUUUGGAGCCAUAUAUUUUGAAGGACAUGCUUGGAUCUCUCCCCCCCGAGGUAAUUUUUAGUGUUGAAACAUUUAGCCUUAUUAUUAGUUUUGUCAUACAUUUUAAUUCUUUUUUUUUCUUUUUUAAUUUUUAAAUUUCUCCUCAAAGAUAAUGCAAGCUCUGGUAGAGCAUUAUAGCUCCAAGGGAUGGUUGCAGCGAGUUGAGCAAUGUGUCCUUCAUAUGGACAUUUCUUCUUUGGACUUCAAUCAGGUCAUAUUGCAUCAUAGUUUACAAUUCUUUGUCAGUCAUUUCUUAUUUCAAAAUUCAAAUAAACUUUUUUCCUAACUGCAGUGGUAUGUAUCAAUCAUUUUGUAGGUUGUCAGGUUAUGCCGAGAGCAUGGACUCCAUGGUGCUUUAGUGUAUCUUUUUAACAAAGGAUUGGAUGAUUUCCGUGCCCCUUUAGAAGAGCUGUUGGUAGUUCUACGUAAUAGUGAAAGAGAAAGUGCUUAUGCCCUUGGGUAUGUUUCCGAAUAUGCAGGACUUAUUUUCUGUUAAUUGAAUAUAGAAAUUUCCAUGAACUCCCCCCCCCCCCCCCCCNNNNNNNNNNNNNNNNNNNNNNNNNNNNNNNNNNNNNNNNNNNNNNNNNNNNNNNNNNNNNNNNNNNNNNNNNNNNNNNNNNNNNNNNNNNNNNNNNNNNNNNNNNNNNNNNNNNNNNNNNNNNNNNNNNNNNNNNNNNNNNNNNNNNNNNNNNNNNNNNNNNNNNNNNNNNNNNNNNNNNNNNNNNNNNNNNNNNNNNNNNNNNNNNNNNNNNNNNNNNNNNNNNNNNNNNNNNNNNNNNNNNNNNNNNNNNNNNNNNNNNNNNNNNNNNNNNNNNNNNNNNNNNNNNNNNNNNNNNNNNNNNNNNNNNNNNNNNNNNNNNNNNNNNNNNNNNNNNNNNNNNNNNNNNNNNNNNNNNNNNNNNNNNNNNNNNNNNNNNNNNNNNNNNNNNNNNNNNNNNNNNNNNNNNNNNNNNNNNNNNNNNNNNNNNNNNNNNNNNNNNNNNNNNNNNNNNNNNNNNNNNNNNNNNNNNNNNNNNNNNNNNNNNNNNNNNNNNNNNNNNNNNNNNNNNNNNNNNNNNNNNNNNNNNNNNNNNNNNNNNNNNNNNNNNNNNNNNNNNNNNNNNNNNNNNNNNNNNNNNNNNNNNNNCCCCCUUCUCUCUCAAGCUUGCAAUAUCAAAGCCUUAUGCCACUAUUACUGAUCCCACAAAAUUGUAUUGCAAUAUGGGAGCUACCGCUAGGACACAUGCCACCUGUCUGGUGGAAUUUUUAUUACACUUGUAUGAAACCCACAACAUUUGGCACAUGUCUUACUGGUGUAUAAAACACACUGUAGAGAAAUGUUUUUACUUGUCAGGGUCUGGGAUUGGAUGGGGCAAAUAUAUGUGUGGUAGUAGGUUGAUUAUUUUCUUCAAGCCACAUGGUUUUCUGAAAAAAGAUAAUUAAAUAAUAUCUUUGACUUAUACUCCAAUUAUUCAAUCCACUUACUAGCAUCUUAUAGUGAUUUCAUUGGGAAUAACAAUUAGUCCUAUAUAAUAAAUAUCUGGUUUGUCUUUCUCUUUGUACUGCUGAUUGUUCGUUUAGGUGGUUUGAUCUAGAUAUUACUUGAAAAGGUUAUUUUGUUUUGCUUUUCUGGUAACAGUUACAGGAUGCUUGUAUAUCUCAAGUAUUGCUUCAAAGGUCUUGCUUUUCCACCAGGUAAGACUUAAGUCUUCUAAUUUCAUUUUCACAGUGAUACGCUGAAUUGUAGAAAGUUUGCUUCUUGUCAAAAAUUUAUGACGCUCAACGUGUUGCUGGUUAUUAGCCAAGGAUUGAAAAUAUUCUGAUACAUUAAAUGGAAAUGGCCAGUUUCUCUUUGAAAUUAUUUAAGUUCUUGCAUUGUGUUUGAAAUUUUUGAAAUGGUAACUGAAGCCGAGCUGCUUCUCUAGGUAAUAUUGUAUUAGUUGUAACCUUUGUACUGCUUGAUUCUUAAAUUUCUCAAAGAAAUCGCUAUCACGGAUUUGACCAAGAAUUGUGGAGUAAUCAUAUACUCUAUUGCAGGUCAUGGAACUCUUCCUUCCACACGCUUGCCAUCUCUUAGAGCAGAACUUGUGCAGUUUCUUUUGGAGGAAUCUGAUGCCCAGAAUUCACAAGCAGCUUCAAGCUUAUUGCUGAAAGGAUCAUAUCUGAAUCUGUAUCAUCUCUUGGAAUUGGACACUGAAGCUACUUUAGAUGUUCUGAGAUGUGCUUUCAUAGAAGUUGAGACGCCAAAAUCUGACUUUUAUGCAUGUGAUAUGGCUGACACAAAUGCGGAGCCUAACAACGGAAACAAGAUGGUGGCUGAAUAUCAGAAUAUGCUGGUUCAGAAUACUGUAAAUGCUCUUGUGCAUAUUCUUGAUGAGGAUAUCUCUUCAACAGAUGGAUCUGCUAGCAAGGAUGAUAGUGGAUCAGUAGAAGCUUGGCCAUCUACGAAGGACAUAGGUCACAUAUUUGAGUUCAUUGCAUGCUAUGUUGCAUCUGGAAGAGCUACUGUCUCAAAAAGUGUACUGAGUCAGAUUCUACAGUACUUGACAUCAGAAAAGAAUGUCCCACAAAGUAUUCUAUCACAUAUUGAAACUUCUAAAAGAAGAGAAAAGCAGCUUCUAGCGCUUCUGGAAGCAGUGCCGGAGACUGAUUGGAAUGCAUCUGAAGUGUUACAUCUAUGUGAGAAUGCCCAUUUUUAUCAGGUAUCUUUAUCAUUCACAAUCUUAAGGUAUUAUCACUUGGAGAUACAGGAACAGUUCUAAAAAUUUGUCUCAGUUCAUGCUUAAUUAUUCUUAUUGAUCUUAUUUUCAGGUUUGUGGUUUAAUUCAUACCAUCAGAUAUAACUAUCUUGCUGCUCUGGAUAGCUACAUGAAAGAUGUCGAUGAACCUAUUUGUGCCUUUUCUUUCAUCCAUGAUACAUUACUACAACUGACUGACAAUGAAUAUACUGCUUUCCACUCAGCAGUCAUCUCCCGGAUUCCAGAGCUGAUUUGCUUAAGCCGGUAAUGCCUUUUUUUUUUGGCUCAAUUGGUUAAGGCAUAUAUUCUGUCUUAUUUCUUAGCUUUUAUUCUGCCUUAUUUCUUAGCUUUUCCUUUUCGGAUCUUUUUUUUAAUUUUUUUUGCAGAGAGGCAACAUUCUUCUUAGUCAUUGACCAAUUCAAUGAUGAAGCUUCACAUAUCCUCUCUGAACUUCGCUCUCAUCCAAAAAGUCUUUUCCUUUAUUUGAAGACGGUUGUUGAGGUUCACUUGCAUGGAACCCUCAACUUAUCUUAUUUAAGAAAAGAUGAUACGCUGGAUGUUGCUAAUUGUAAAUGGGUGAAGUAUCAGUCAAAAGGAUUGGGGGCUUACAUUGAAAGAAUUUCUGACCUCCCUAAAUUCCUGUCUAGUAACGCAGUUCAUGUGACUGAUGAUAUGAUUGAGCUUUACUUGGAGGUGAGCACUUUUGUAAUACAUCUUUCCCUUGCCAUAUUUAGCAUGUGCUUGGUCUCAGUGACACCGAAUAGUCUUUGCUUUCAUUAUGAUUUGACUGUUUACGUAGUUGUAGACCUCUUCUGUCAAGUACUCAGGUUUGGAGGAAAUCAGAAGAUUUAAAAAAAAAUUGUAUUUACUUGCCCAUUCUUUGACACUAUUAAGGUUAUCUUAUUCUGUAAUAUCUCUGGUUUCAUGGCCUCUUUAUUUGUUGCAUUAGUUUAAUUACUGCUUAUCCGCCAAUAAGUUACAGAGGAAGCACCUUUUCACUUCAUGAAGGCAUCUCAGGUUCUAAUUAUGAUGCACUUUACUUUUGCAGUUAUUAUGUCGGUAUGAACGAGAUUCAGUUCUCAAAUUCUUAGAAACUUUUGAUAGCUAUCGGGUGGAAUACUGUUUACGCCUGUGCCAAGAGUAUGGAAUCACAGAUGCAGCUGCAUUUUUAUUAGAAAGGGUUGGAGAUGUGGGAAGUGCUCUCUUACUUACACUAUCUGAACUUAAUGAUAAGUUUGCUGCGCUUGAGACUGCUGUGGGAAGUGCCCUUCCUAUAGCAGUUUCUAAUGGAUCAGUCAGUGUAGAGCAUUUCAGCACUGUUUUAAAUAUGGAGGAGGUUUGUAAAGGGAUAUCUUUUGUUUGAUGAGCAUGAGAACAUAAUUUGUGUAGAAUGCAGCAUAUUUUGGCAAUUUAAUAAUUCAUGUGAUCUUUCUCUUAUAGGUCAAUGAUGUAAAUAAUAUAUUGCGUGCCUGUAUUGGGUUGUGCCAGCGGAACACUCCUCGUCUGAAUCCAGAAGAGUCAGAAGUGCUCUGGUUUAAAUUACUUGAUUCGUGAGUUCCAAUUACUAUUUGCUUUCUUGCUUUCUCAAUUUCUUGAUUCAUAUGCUGUCAUGAUUUCACACAAGUUUUAUGUCAUUUGAUGGACUUCUGACUUUCAUUUAUGAAUUGAAAAGUCAGAUAUGUGGUUGCAUGUGAAAUAAUCAAUAGAGCAUUAGUCAGAAUCAUUUUUCCAUUGUUUCUACUAAGGAAUGGAAUAUCUCCGUAGUUACACUGACGAAAUGAAGAUGAAGGGGUGAGAUUACAGAAUUAGUUAUAGAAACCCAAAAAUGUAGAGAAAAGCAGAUAAACAGUGGACUCCGGUAUGAAGGAUCAGGUUCUAAUUAAUGUGGAGGGUUUAGUUUUUGCACAAUUCUGAAAAGAGUUUAGAUUUCUGCUAGAUUUUCACUUCUGGUUGUUUCACUGCAAUAAUUACACUCUUUCUCAUCUAAUAGUCUCUGAAUUCAGUGUCUCUCAGAAACCUUUUUCCCUAGCUAAAAUAAAUGAGGAAACC